RNAcentral lists this long non-coding RNA (63200 nucleotides) under Gossypium barbadense (sea-island cotton). RNAcentral's name for it is "long non-coding RNA (GBAR_LNC004123)". Lineage: Eukaryota; Viridiplantae; Streptophyta; Magnoliopsida; Malvales; Malvaceae. The record is from RNAcentral.
GCACACAAGAAGUAUGAACCAUUUUUGAAUAAAAGCAUUGAUCAUUAUGAUGAAAUGGCUUUGAUUGUUGGCAAAGAUAUGGCAACAGGGAGUUUUGCCAGAACAUUUGCUGACAUAGAUUUGGAUGAUGAUAACCAAGAUUUAGUGCCUAUAGACUGCGAGAAUGAAGUGACUGAAGAGGUAAGAACAAAUGUAUCUUCAUCUGGCACAUCCAAACGUAAAAGAAAAAAGGCUCAAGAAAGUGUCAUUGAUGAACAAAUUAAAUUUGUGGGUGAACAACUUGGCAAAAUUACUAAUGCUUUGGAACAAUUUACUGCGGAUAAGACACCACAUCUUUAUGAAGAAGUGAUGUCAAUGGAGGUAGAAGGAUUUGAUGAUGACUUCCUGUGUUCUGUGUUUGAUUAUCUAGUGAGUCAUGAAUCUGAGGCAAAAGCUUUUUUAGUUAAAAGUAAGAAGCAUAGAAAAAUUUGGCAUCAAAAAUUUUCUCAAGGUUGAAGAUAUUGAUACUUUUAAUGUGGUGAUAUUAGUUAUGCACUUGGACAAUGUUGCUGUUAUCAUAUGGUGUAAUAUUAGUUACCAUGUGUUGUAAUAUUAGUUAUGCACUUGGAUAAUGUUGUUAUCAUGUGGUGUAAUACUAAUUAUGCAUUUGGAUAAUAUUAUUAAUUUCUAGUAUUAAUUAUGGUUUAGAAGCUAAUUUAUAAUUAUUCAAUCCUAGUUUUUUAUUUUUUUAUAACACAAUUACAAAUAAUUUAUUUUACUUUGGUUGUUUUCAAUUUAUGAUGGUUAAUAUUCUAGUUUAAUAAUUGAGUAUUAUUAUAUAUUUAAAAUGAUUUAUAUAUUUAUAAAUAAAUCAUUGCAAUACAUGUAAAAACAAUUUAAAAUAUAAAUUUAUUAAUAUAUAUAUAUAAUAAACUCAAUCAAACAAAGAAAAGAUAAUAAAUUCUUAAAUAUAUAAAUUUCUUAAAACAGCUUUUCAUGAAAAUAUUUUCAGGAAAUCUGUCAAACAACAAAAAAUAUUUUACACAGAUUCAUUCAAACACCAGAAAAGUAAAUCAUUUUCUAGAAACUAUUUUCCGGAAAAUAUUUUACUGGCAAACAAACGGAGCCUUAAAUGAAAAUCUAUUUCAAAAAAAUAAAACUGUGAAAAUAAUUUGGUAACUAUUGUUUUCAUAGGAGGAACUAUAAAUAAGUAGUAAUUAAAACAAAUUAUAUGUUUCAGAUAAUAACUAAUAUAAUAACAUAAAUUUAAUUUAAUUUAAUUAAACAUAAGUGGUAGCGUAAAACAUAAAACAAAAUUUAUUGUUAAUAAUAAAAUAAAAUAAAACCUUCAAAAAAAUAAAAUAAAAAAAUUUCUAUUGUUCGUUAAAAAAAAUAUAUUGCUAAAAAGAUUGUUAAACCAUUUGGAAAAAAAAAAUUGCGUUUAUAUAGAUUUCAGCGAGGAUAAGAGUUAAAAAAUUAUUGUUUUCAAUUUUUUUUCAAGAAUAAUUUUAGUGUACAAUGAAAACAAUAUUUUUCAAAAAUAAUAUUGAGGAAGGGGAUAAUAGGGUUUGAAUCAAUGAUGUUUGAAUUGGAAUGGAUUGGUCGGGAUAUCAGUUUGGAAAAUGGUGUUAGACUGAUUGAAUUGCGAACUGGUAUGGACUAGUUGAACUAAUUAAAAAAACUAGCUGAAUUGACAAUUGAAUUUGUAACCUCACUAACUUGGCCUAGACUGUAGACUCGAGUCGAGUAGAUUACAUUAAUCACCUAAGUGGCUCGCUCAUUUUUAAUUCAAAUUUUUGAUUCUAAACCUGUUUUAUUCAAGUGAAUCUUCAACAAGAUUAUCAAGAAUGUAGCAGUGGGAAUUUAUUAACAUACCCUUAAAAUAAAUAAACAUGUUUCAUAUUAGGCAUAUGUACAAUUAAGAUCUAUACUGAAAUUCAUCUGUAAAACCCUAAUAAUAUUUAUAAGUAACAGUUCAUCUAAUUAUAAGAUGUCCUAAUAACUCAUAUUAUGCAUCCUAAAUGAACAACUUCUAAAACCUAUAUCCCAAUCAUGGAAUCCAUAAAUAAUAACGACAAUAAUUAUAAGGAUAUAAAUAAUAAUAAUAAUAAUAAUAGCAUUCUUUAGACCACAACAAGCUGAGACCCUCCAUGCAUUGAGUCUGCGUCCUAGAAUAUUGGAUUAUCUGAAAAGAUAGAAAAUAGGGGAGUUAGCUUAACAGGCUCAGUAGGAGACCCUUUAAAAUAAAUCUCAUCAAUAUUCAAAAUGCAUGUCAAUCAUAAUAAUUAUAUUUAUAUAAAAAUUCUGAUAAUACAAUAAAUCAGUUUUUAUUACUCAUAGAACAAUCAACAUUCAAACGAAUUCAAUUGAGUAACACAAUUAUACGUAGUAUCAUUCACAAUGCACACUUAUCAAUUCGGACGAAUCAUCAUAUACUUUCCAACGAGAAUGCAUUGUUUGCCAUUUAACAGUCGUACAACAUAUCAAAUAGCCUUCGGAAAUCCUAUCCUCGACCACUAGCACACCAAAUAGGGAGUUCCUUAGAACCCCCUCUACCUUUUCACACACUUAUACAUAUGGAUGCAGACAAGCUGUCGUAUGGUUGAGGUUACACAACCCCUCACAGAUAAAAGCUUUCAGAGAAAGUUAUGGUUACUCCAUAUAAAGGUCACAAUUGGAAUAUGCUAAUCUAUGAAUUCACAACGGACAAGCAUAUAUGCAAUAUAAACUGUCGUAUCUUCCUCCUUUCAUAAUUCCCCCAUGCAUAUGCAACAUAAUCAGAUCAUAUAGUUUGAUCAUUCAGUGAUUGUUUAGUAUUUCAUCUUAUAGUAGAAACAAAUCGAUGAGCGAAACAUUUACUUGGCAUAUACAUAUAUCAUUCAGUAUAUAUAUAAAGUCAUUCAAAGAUUUAAAUAAUCAUUCAUAAACAUUCAUAUACCUUUGAUAAUCAUGAUAUCAUUCGUGAAUUUAUAGCAUUAAUCAUAAAUAUAUAAAUCAUAAAAUCAGUCAUCCAUGUGUUUGUCCAUUCUAUCCUAAUCCGAGACCUAAUUUCAUAGUCUAGUUCUCUAAAUGCUAUUAAAAACCUAAUCAGGGAUUGAAUUGCAUAAAAUAAAUAAAGAUUAGAAGGGGUUUUCAAGAUUUGAAGGGGUUUUCGACAAAAGCAAUAAAGUUUCAAUAACGAGUGUCGUCACCUAAAAUUGAAAAGUCUUAAUUGGCAAGGAAUAGAAUACUUAAUGAUUUUGACAGGAUUUUGACAAGUUAUUGACACAAGAUUCAAGGAUUUUGAUGAAGACAAUGGAUUUGGGCUUGAUUGCAAAGAUUAAAGAGUUCAAGGAAAUUUCCAGCGUCAAGGUUUUGGAGAAUAAGAUUGUAACAAAGGGUUUUCUUGCAAAUAUGUGAAGAUGAGUGUAAACACUCAAUUUUGCCCGAGCCCAGAAAUAAGUCCAAAAACAAAAAUAAUAAACCCCAAAAAAACGAAGUCCAAGUUCAGUCCAGAAUUACAAAUAAAUUUGGCCCGAUCGGAAUGGCCCAUUACUUGAAAAGAUUUAAGGUCCAUCUACAAGCUUGACUCAUAUGGAAAUAUAAUCUUCAAUUAUAUGCAAUCUUAGAAGAUAUGAUUUUGUAAUCUUAGAGAUUUAAUUUGUAGAUACCUUUUAAGCUUAACUGUUGAUGUAAUUGAUCUGUACCAUUGGAUUUGAGGAGGUUCAACUAUAAAUAGAGGCCUCUCCCUUUAUUGUAAAGACAUUGGAGUUUUGGGAAACAAUAAAAAAUUUUUAGAGCUUUCACUCAAAUUUCUCUCCCUCUUAUGUUCUUAUUUUCUACGGUUUGUUCUUAUUUUAUUCUUUGUUCAUCUUCAUUUUUCAACCCUUUUUAUUUUGAUUUAAUCCAUGUUUCCCUGAUUUUUUUUAUAUAUUUUAAUUUUUUAAUAAUUUUAGUAUCAUAUCAAACUUUUUCAUUUUUUAAUAAUUUUUUUUAGUAUUACUCUUAGUAAAUUAUUUUUUAAAUUUUACUCAAAUAAUUAUUUUAAAAAAAAUAUUUCAUUUAAUUGUCAUAUUUUAUCCAAAAGUUUUUCUAAAAUGAGGCAAUGUUUUCUGUAUUUAGGAAUUCGGGAAAUAGUGCCCUAACAUGCUGGGUUGCGAUUUCCCGUUUGUCUAAAUGCCUAAAGUAUCCUUCUAAAUAGAUUUUGUAAAUCACGAGAUGAUUUCAGUUACGAGAGUUUAAGAAUAUAGUGUCCUAUCAUGCUGGAUGUGAUGUUUGUAUUCUUUCGGAGCUAAGGAAUCUCGAUUUUUCAACUUAAAUAAUUCUGGUUUUAAAAAAAGGAUCCUAUUUUUAAAUCCUUUCAAAUUUUUUACAUUAAGACAGAAAACUAUUCAAUUUGGUACCAAUUUUGGGCGUUGAAAGGGUGCUAAUCCUUCCUCGUACGUAACCGACUUCCGAACCUGUUUUCUUAAUUUUCGUAGACCAAAACGUUUUAUAAGGUGAUCCAAUCACACCUAAAAAGGUUGGUGGCGACUCCCGUUUUUGUUUUUCAAAAGUCGAUUCCCAUUUUUCAAGCAUCCCUUUAAAAAAUGGUUUUGACAGCUUGGCGACUCCACUGGGGACUUAAGAGAGUCAAGCCAAGAAAUUGAGUAUUUUCUGUCUUAAUGUCGGAAGUUUGGAAAUUUUAAAAUUGGAUCCUUUACAUGUGUUUGCUGCAUAUGUUUGUUACCUUAUUGCUGUAUAUUGCAUUUGUAUAACAGUUGUGGUCACACCCUUAAGUGAGAGUGAGAAGCUACACUUUCGUAAGGUUUUCACCUUCAUAUAAGCUAGUGGAUUGCUUCCGGGAUACUGUACCUAUGUCUUCGUGAGAUUUUCAUCUCCGUAUGGCCGUAGGGAAACGUGUCCCCCUGAAUUGAACUUGGUCUAUAUGAGCCUAUAAUAGGUGAAGACCAAGGAAUUUGCUGGUUCAGGUACCCUGGCUUUAGAGCUAAAACUCAUAUAGUGAACUUUAAAGAGUUUAGGAAAGAUAGUGAUAGCCUUUAGUAAGCUACCCUUGUAAGUACUUGUUUAUCAUUUUUUUUAUGAUACUGACCUAUUUUUAUUUUGCUGUCAUUACAUGUCAUUUGGCAUUUAAAGUUGUCGAUUCACGGCUCGAUUUCUAGAUUAGAAAGUUUUGUAAUGAGGAAUGAAUACCUUAAUAGAGUGGAGGACAAUGCUUCUAUCUGUACCUAGUCAGAGAAAACCCAGUUAGAGAAAGGAGAUAGUGUCACUGAGGGAUAUACGUCAGAGUUAUGGGACUUCACCCGUAUUAAUUCGACGCAGAAUAAGUUUCAGGAGCUGAGAAACAUUUGGGCCCAAUGGGAUGACGAGGCUAAACAGCUUUUCUAUCAGAAUUAUGGAGACCUUCCCUAUUUGCUAGACGUCAAAGUAGAUAGGCACUUGUUUCGAGCUAUGGUACAGUUUUGGAAUCCUGCUUAUAGUUGUUUUACAUUUUGUGGUGUUGAUCUUGCACCUACUUUGGAGGAGUGUACAACUUUAUUGCGUUGAGGAUUCAGGGUCACAAGGCUUAUGUUAGGCCUGCUAGUCUUCCAACUUUUGCAAAGAAGUUGGUGAUGAUUACUGGGAUGAGUGAGCAGUGGGCUGUAGCUCGUAUACAGCAAAAGGGUGAUAGUAAGUGCGUUCCAUGGGCCGUUUUGACGGAUUUGAUAUCGACACAUCCAGACGUAAAGAAAAGGGUCGACGUCCUGGCUUUGAGUAUUUAUGGCAUGGUGAUUUUCCCAAAGGCAUUGGGACACAUAGAUGAGGCAGUUGUGGAUUUGUUCGAUCGCGUUGGUAAGCAGAAUACACUGGUACCAGCAAUCCUAGUUGAGACAUUUAGAUCUUCGAGUGUAUGUCGGAGAGCCGGCGAAGGUAGAUUCAUUGGAUAUGCACAGUUGUUGUUGGUUUGGUUCCACAGUCAUUUUUGGAAGCUUGAUAAGGUUCCUUGCCGAGUAUUCUUUGAGGGUUAUUCUCCCUUAAAAGAAGCAGUAGACAUGCCGAGGAGAGAUAACAUUUUAGAGGAGAGGUGGAUAGACAUUCUUCAGAAUCUUCAAGAGGAAGAUGUUAUGUGAAAGGCUCCUUGGUUAGUUCCUAGUGAAAUCCUUUACCGCUGUGGCAGUUUUGAUUGGGUCCCUUCGCCAGGAAUUUGGGGAGUUGUUGGAUAUGCACCAUUGCUUGUUCUAAGGCAAUAUAGAGCGAGGCAGUUCAUACCGAUUACACAGGGUCUAGCUCAAAGUAAUUUCUCUUAUAAAAGAGAUCACUAUAAGAAGAAGAUGCGAGAGAUUUCUAAGGCUUGGAAGAAGCCUUUCUGUAUGAAGAUCUUGACCGAAGGCUCAACGUCAAUCCUUGAGUAUAAAGGGUGGUUUAGUAGGAGAGUCAACGAUAAUAUCCCUAUGCCAAUUUUGGGAGUGGCUCGAUCAUUAGAGGAGAGCUUACGAGUGAUUCCAUCAGGGUUGGAGGUUAUGAAGCAAGAGUUCGAGAGAAAAAAUUUGGAGAUUGAAAAGAGGAUUGAGAAGCUCAAAGAGGAAAAAAUGUGCUUAAGUCUCGACGUCGAUAUUCAAAAGAUGGAAGUCGAGAAGGUGAAAAAGGAAAAGAGAAAGAUCGAGGAAGAUCGAGAUGAUUUAAAAACGCACUACAAAAAGGCCCAAGUAACGUUGAAAAGGGUCAGAUUAGGGAGAUCUCCAGAGCAGUGGCAGCAAGAGAUUCAGGAAGAAAGAGCCAAAGUCGAGUAUUGCGAGAAGAAGUUCCAAGAGAUGCAGUCGCGUAAUCAGGCCCUAGAGAAGGAAAAUCAAGGAUUAAAAACUAAGGUGGCUGAACUUGGACAAUCUCUUCAUCAUCACCGAAGUCGUAACCUUGCAAUCGAGUUAAAGGCAAGCUUGAACAAGAUCAAGAAAAUGAAGCACGAUAUUGGAAGGUUGGAAGCAGCACUACAGGGCUGUGAGCUACGGAUUGAGCAGCUCGAGGCAAGAGAAGAACAGUGGAAGGGAGAACUUCACCAUCUUCAGGAUCAAGUUGGAAAUAGGGAUUAUCUCAUGGGGAAGCCUCAGUUCAGAUUCGAGAGGUUGCUGAACACUUGCAGGAUUUGGCAGUACAAGCUAGAACGCUGAGUAUUAGAUAGUUAACAUUGUUAUUAGAUAGGGUUAAGACUCUAGGCCUACGGGCGAAAGCGUAUUUGUAAUCUGUUUUAUGAAAAGAUUUUUGGUUCCUUAAAUAACGUUUUCUAAAAUGAAAUUGAAUCAGAAUCGACAUCUUUUUGCAUUCAUACAUUUUCAUUUCAUAGCAUCUCAUUGUAUCAUAUACAUUCAAGUUUAUAGAAAAACCCUAAUUAGUUAAAAUUAAUAGGGAGAAAGAGAGCAAUACACGACAAAGGAUCGGAGCAAGGAAACCCUGAGGGCAUUCGCCCUUACGAACCGGGAAGCUAUCUGAACAAUUGGACUGUGGAGGAACUUCUUAUAGUCUUUAGGAAUUUUUCAGAGUAAUUCUCAAAAUAUUCUUGUUACUCUAGAGCCUAGGAGUAAUAGGAUUUCAUUUGUGAAAUGGGCUGACAAUCAUCUAUUAUUUUUUAAUAAAGCAUAACUUUUAUCAAUUUGAACGAGUAUUGUUUCAUUUUUAUCAACCAAUAUUCCGUUAAAUUUUGGCAAUUCUUAUUCUUUCAUUCAUAGCACAUAAAUAAUCAUUCUUAAAUUCAUUCAUUCUUUGUAUAUUCUUUAUACUUCACAGAUCCCUAGAUAUCAAUGACAUGAGCAUUGAUAUUACAAAUCCUGAUUUCUCUCGUGAGCAAGACAUGUGUUUAGAGGAAUCACAAGAUUUUGAAGAUGUCCAGGAUUGUGAUGUGUCUCUAGAUCUUUUGAGGAUGGUAAAGCAUGAGGAGAAACAAAUCAUGCCACAUGAGAAAGAGGCAGUAGAGAAUGUAGCCCUAGAGGAAGGGAAAAAGGUGAAAAUUGGCACGCAUAUUGCUGAUGAUAUAAGGCAAGGACUGAUUGAGUUGUUAUGUGAGUUCAAGGAUAUCUUCGCAUGGUCCUAUCAAGAUAUGCUAGGGUUAAAUACUGAUAUUGUGGUGCAUCGUCUUUCAAUAAGACAGGAUUGUAAACCAGUUCAACAGAAAUUGCGAAGAAUGAGACCAGAUAUUGUAUUAAAAAUAAAGGAUGAAGUCAAGAAACAGUUCGAUGCAGGAUUCUUACAAGAGGUAAAGUAUUCUGAAUGGGUAGCUAACAUUGUACCAGUUCCUAAGAAGGAUGGGAAGGUACAAAUGUGUGUUGAUUAUAGGGAUCUGAACAAAUCUAGCCCAAAAGAUAAUUUCCCUCUGCCUCACAUAAACACUUUGGUAGACAACACAGCGGGAUAUUCGUUGUUCUCCUUCAUGAAUAGUUUUUCAGGGUACAAUCAGAUAAAGAUGCACCCUGAAGACAUGGACAAAACCACCUUCAUAACCUUGUGGGGGACUUUCUGUUACAAGGUAAUACCCUUUGGGCUAAAGAAUGCAGGGGCAACAUACCAAAGGGCUAUGGUGACCUUAUUUCACGAUAUGAUGCACAAGGAAAUUGAGGUGUAUAUUAAUGAUAUGAUUGCCAAAUCUUGAACAGAGGAGAACAUAUUGAGGUUUUAAAGAAACUAUUCUUGAGAUUAAGGAAGUUUCAGUUAAAACUUAAUUCGGCAAAAUGUACUUUCGGAGCCAGGUUGGGGAAGUUACUAAGUUUUAUGGUCAGUGAAAAAGGAAUAGAAAUUGAUUCAGACAAAGUUAGAGCCAUACAAGAUUUGCCUUCACCGCGUACCCAGAAAGAAGUUCGGGGUUUUCUUGGAAGGUUGAAUUAUAUUGCUCAGUUUAUUUUACAAUUAAUUGAGAAAUGUGACCCUAUAUUUCGCCUCAUUAGAAAACACAACCAAGGUAGUUGGGAUGAGGAAUGCCAGAAUGCUUUCGAUAAGGUUAAGUAAUACUUGUUAAAUGCUCCUGUGCUAUCUCCACCUAAUCUAGGUACACCAUUAAUUCUGUACUUAUCAGUAUUUAGCAAUUCUAUAAGAUGUGUGCUUGGCCAACAUGACGAGUCGGGAAGAAAGGAGAAGGCGAUAUACUACCUCAGCAAGAAAUUCACAAAGUGUGAGAUGAGAUAUUCGCCAAUUGAGAAAUUGUGCUGUGCUUUAAUCUGGACGACUCGAAGGUUGAGGCAAUAUAUGUUGUAUCAUACUACUUGGCUUAUUUCAAAACUUGAUCCUCUAAAGUAUAUGAUGAGUCAACAGCUUUGAAUGGAAGAAUGGCGAGGUGGCAAAUUCUGCUUUCAGAGUUUGACAUAGUUUAUGUGAGCCAGAAGGCUAUAAAAGGAAGUGCGAUAGCGGAAUUUCUGGCUAGUAGAGCUCUAGAAGACUAUGAGCCAUUGAAUUUUGAUUUCCCAAAUGAGGAGUUGAUGUGUGUAGCAGCUACAGAGGAUUAUCCUUGGAAGUUGAGCUUUGAUGGGGCAUCCAAUACAGUGGGAAAUGGAAUUGGGGCAGUCUUGGUAUCCCCAAAUGGUGAUUAUUAUCCAUUCACGUGCAAGUUGGAUUUUUAUUGCACAAACAAUAUGCCGAGUAUGAAGCGUGCAUCAUGGGACUCCGAGCGGCUAUAGAGCGAAGAAUAAGAACCUUAGAAGUUUAUGAAGACUCCGCGUUGGUAAUUUACCAGCUUAAAGGUGAAUGAGAGACAAGGGAUCCUAAAUUGAUCAUUAUCGAAAGUUAGUUUUGGGAUUACUUGAGGAGUUCGAUGACAUCACUUUUAAUUAUAUACCACUAGACGAAAACCAGAUGGCAGAUGCUCUACCAACCUUGGCUUCAAUGAUUAAAGUGAAUAAAAAGGAGGAGAUGAGACUCAUUUAGAUGAGUAUCUUCGAGGCUCCAGCUCACUGUUGUAACAUUGAGGAAGAAGAAAAAGAUGAUAACCUUUGAUAUCAGGAUAUAUUGCGAUAUGUGAGAGAUUGUAAAUACCCAGAAUAGGCAACUGAAAAUGAUAAGCGAACUUUAAGGAGAUUAGCCUGCGACUACAUUUUUGAUGGGGACAUCUUGUACAAAAGAAGAAAGGACCAAGUACUGUUGAAAUGUGUUGACACCGUGGAAGCUAAGUUAAUCUUGGAAUAAGCUCACGAGGGUGUUUGUGGGACGCACGCUAAUGGUUUCACAAUGGCUAGACAAAUCAUGAAGUUUGGAUAUUAUUGGUCUACUUUGGAAGGGGAUUGUAUCAACUACGCCAAAAAAUGCCAUAAAUAUCAGAUUUAUAGAGACAAGAUUCAUGUACCACCUUCACCUCUACACGUUAUGACUUCUCCAUGGCCUUUUUCUAUUUGGGGCAUGGAUGUCAUUGGGCUAAUAUCACCAAAAGCUUCAAAUGGGCAUUGCUUUGUUUUUAUGGUCAUUGAUUACUUCACGAAGUGGGUAGAGGCUGCUUCUUAUGCGAAUGUUACUAAGUCAGCUGUAAGUCGUUUCUUGGAGAAAGAGAUUAUUUGUCAGUAUGGGAUGCCUGAAAGGAUCAUAUCAGACAAUGUACUGAACUUGAACAACAAAACGAUAGCAGAAGUUUGCAGUUAGUUCAGGAUUAAGCAUCAUAACUCUUCGCCGUAUCGCCCAAAGAUGAAUAAGGCAGUGGAAGCUACUAACAAAAACAUCAAGAAGAUAGUGGGGAAAAUGACUGAAACCUACAGAGACUGGCAUGAGAAGUUACCAUUUACACUCUUAGCUUACCGAACGUCUGUCAGAACUUCUACCGGGGUAACUCCUUUAGAAGCAGUAUUACCUAUUGAAGUGGAAAUACCGUCUCUUCGAGUCUUGUCAGAGAUAAAGUUGAAUGAAGCUGAAUGGAUACAAUUGUGAUAUAAUCAGUUGAACUUGAUUGAGGAAAAAAAGUUAAAAGCCAUUCGUCAUGGUCAGAUGUAUCAGAAGCAAAUGAUGCGAGCUUACGACAAGAAAGUGUGACCAAGAGAAUUCCAUGAGGGGGAUCUUGUGCUAAAAAAGAUCAUCCCUAUUCAGAAGGAUUUUAGAGGAAAAUGGAUGCCAAAUCGGGAAGGGCCGUAUGUCAUGAAGAAGGCCUUCUUUGGGGGUGCAUUGAUCUUAACGGAAAUGGAUGGGAAGAGUUUGCCCAAUCCAGUGACUUCAGACUCAGUCAAAAAGUACUUUGUCUAAAGGAGAGAAGAAUUCAGGGUGAAAACCCGCAAAGGGCGCCUUGUGACCAAAGGGGUUUUGAGUUGAAAACCUGAAAGGGCAGCUCAAAUUUUGAAAAGCACACGAUAAUCUUGCUAUAUCUGAUUCAACGAAGAGUGAACUGCGUUGCAUAUCGGGGUAUCAAAAAAGUACUUUGGAUCUUUUAAACACAUGUUGAAUUCAAGAAAGUCUUCAUGGAGCUGGCAUAUAAACGCUCAAGCGGCGAUAUCUAGGGCAUCUAACUUUUGUCCUGUUUGUAUCUUUAGAUUCUUUUUCUUCUCAAAGAUAGACUUUCAGGCUAAUUUCCUUUGUAUUUUUGACAAAUUUAUUCAAAUCUAAUUAUUCUCAAGAUUAAAUUCAUCUUCCAUUAUUCAUAAAGUAUGUUGCAUUAAAAUAAUGAUAGAUGAACUAAAUAAUUUUCACAAAUGAAGUUUUGCUCAUUACUCUGGAAUUUUUUAGAUAAUACAAGAAACUAAAACAGAACAAUUGUUUGAAGAAUUCACGUAAGUGAGGUUUGAAAGAACUCGAAAAAAUUCUUUCUUUAGUCCAAAAUGAUGAUUGGACAAAUCAAACGAUUCGAUCCUAAGAGAAGAUCAUUUUACAGACAUUUUUGGUGGGUCAUAGCAUUUGAAGAAUGGUACAAACCCACAGGCUGAGUAGGAAUGAUACUUCGAGAGAAAUAAUGAUAAACUUUGACGAAAGAAUGAGUGGUGACGUCUGGAAUAGGGGUCAUAUUCAUAAACAUUUUGCAUUAUAACAGGUUUAAUUAGGAGCAUUUGACUCACUUCGAUCAUAGCAUCCUAAUCAUUAGGCAUGAACUCAUACACAUUAUACAGGUUAUGUCCUUCAAGGGACAAUGAAGAUUGAUGCGCCUUAACCCCCUAAGCAGUAGGGUAACAGGCUAAAGCAUAGCAGAUUUGAUCUUCAGGUGUUUGCGCUGAAGCGGAUCCAAGAUGAUUUAACAUCUCUGUAUUGUCAGAGAACAAAUCGAAGAAACAGAUUUGGCAUCUCCAUAUUCGACGAAGAGCAGAUCGAAGACAUAGCAGAUCUAACUUUCAGAUGUUUUCACAUCGAAGUAGAUCCAAGAUGAUUUGGUAUCCUUGCGUUGACAAGGAGCAGAUCGAAGACAUAGCAAAUUUGGCUUUCACGUGUUUACGCUGAAGCGGAUCUAAGAUGAUUUGGCAUCUCUGUACUAUCAGAGAAAAAAUCAAAGAAACAGAUUUGGCAUCUCCAUAUUCGACGGAGAGCAGAUCGAAGACAUAGCAGAUCUAACCUUCGGAUCUUUUCACAUCGAAGUAGAUCCAAGAUGAUUUGGCAUCCUUGUGUUGAUAAGGAGCAGAUUGAAGACAUAGCAGAUUUGGCUUUCACGUGUGUACACUGAAGUAGAUCUAAGAUGAUUUGACAUCUCUAUACUGUCAGAGAAAAAAUCAAAGAAAUAGAUUUGGCAUCUCCAUAGUCGACGGAGAGUAGAUCGAAGACAUAGCAGAUCUAACCUUCGGAUGUUUUCACAUCGAAGUAGAUCCAAGAUGAUUUGGCAUCCUUGCGUUGACAAGGAGCAGAUCAAAGACAUAGCAGAUUUGGCUUCCACGUGUGUAUACUGAAGUAGAUCUAAGAUGAUUUGGCAUCUUUGUACUGUCAGAGAACAAAUCGAAGAAACAGAUUUGGCAUCUCCAUAUUCGACGGAGAGCAGAUCGAAGACAUAGCAGAUCUAACCUUCAGAUGUUUUCACAUCGAAGUAGAUCCAAGAUGAUUUGGCAUCCUUGCGUUGACAAGGAGCAGAUCGAAGACAUAGCAGAUUUGGCUUUCACUUGUUUACGCUGAAGCAGAUCUAAGAUGAUUUGGCAUCUCUGUACUAUCAGAGAACAAAUUAAAGAAACAGAUUUGGCAUCUCCAUAUUCGACAGAGAGCAGAUCGAAGACAUAGCAGAUCUAACCUUCAGAUCUUUUCACAUCGAAGUAGAUCCAAGAUGAUUUGGCAUCCUUGCAUUGACAAGAAGUAGAUCGAAGACAUAGCAGAUUUGGCUUUCACGUGUGUACGCUGAAGCAGAUCUAAGUUGAUUUGGCAUCUCUGUACUGUCAGAGAAUAAAUCGAAGAAACAGAUUUGGCAUCUCCAUAUUCGACGGAGAGCAGAUCGAAGACAUAGCAGAUAUGACCUUCAUUGAAGCAGAUCCAAGAUGAUUUGGCAUCUCUGUAUUAGACGGGGAGCAGAUCGAAGACAUAGCAGAUUGGACCUUCAUUGAAGCAGAUCCAAGAUGAUUUGGCAUCUUUAUAUUAGACGGGGAGCAGAUCGAAGACAUAUCAGAUCUGACCUUCAUUGAAGCAGAUCCAAGAUGAUUUGGCAUCUCUAUAUUAGACGGGGAGUAGAUCGAAGACAUAGCAGAUUGGACCUUCAUUGAAGCAGAUCCAAGAUGAUUUGGCAUCUCUGUAUUAGACGGGGAGCAGAUCGAAGACAUAGCAGAUCUGACCUUCAUGUGUUUACAUCGAAACAGAUCCAAGAUGACAGAUUUGGCAUCUCUGUAUUAGACGGGGAGCAAAUCGAAGAUAACAGAUUUGGCAUCUCUGUAUUAGACAGGGAGCAAAUUGAAGAAGUAGAUUUGGCGUCUCUGUAUUAGACGGGGAGAAGAUCGAAGAUAACAGAUUUGGCGUCUCUAUAUUAGACGGGGAGUAGAUCAAUGAUAGCAGAUAUCGCCUUCCUGAGUUGCAGUGAAGCAGAUUGAAGCCGUCAAGAGGCCAUUUAAAGAAGAUCAAGGAUCAAGAACUCAAGACUCGGCGAGCCCGGGCAAAAUUGGUCCUUUUAUAGUCUUUGCUCUAUUCCUGUUACACAGCAAUGAGCAAAGAGGGGCAGCUGUAGACACUCAAUUUUGCUCGGGCCCAGAAAUAAGUCCAAAAACAAAAAUAAUAAACCCCAAAAAAAAAACAAAGGCCAAGUUCAGUCCAGAAUUACAAAUAUAAUUUGACCCGAUCGGAAUGGCCCAUUACUUGAAAAGAUUUAAGGUCCAUCUACAAGCUUGACUCAUAUGGAAAUAUAAUCUUCAAUGAUAUGCAAUCUUAGAUAUGAUAUGCAAUCUUAGAUAUGAUACAAUCUUAGAUAUGAUUGCAAUCUUAGAUAUGAUAUGCAAUCUUAGAAGAUAUGAUUUUGUAAUCUUAGAGAUUUAAUUUGUAGAUACCUUUUAAUCUUAACUGUUGAUGUAAUUGAUCUGUACCGUUGGAUUUGAGGAGGUUCAACUAUAAAUAGAGGUCUCUCCCUUCAUUGUAAAGACACUGGAGUUUUGGGAAAUAAUAAAAAUUUUUGAGAGCUUUCACUCAAAUUUCUCUCCCUCUUAUGUUCUUAUUUUCUACGGUUUGUUCUUAUUUUAUUCUUUGUUCAUCUUCGGUUUUCAACCCUUUUUAUUUUGAUUUAAUCCAUGUUUCCCUGAUUUUUUUUAUAUAUUUUAAUUUUUUUAAUAAUUUUAGUAUCAUAUCAAACUCUUUCAUUUUUUAAUAAUUUUUUUAGUAUUACUCUUAGUAAAUUAUUUUUUAAAUUUUACUCAAAGAAUUAUUUUAAAAAAUAUAUAUUUCAUUUAAUUGUCAUAUUUUAUCCAAAAGUUUUUCUAAAAUGAGGCAAUGUUUUUCGUAUUUAGGAAUUCGGGAAAUAGUGCCCUAACAUGCUGGGUUGCGAUUUCCCGUUUGUCUAAAUGCCUAAAGUAUCCUUCUAAAUAGAUUUUGUAAAUCACGAGAUGAUUUCAGUUACGAGAGUUUAAGAAUAUCGUGUCCUAUCAUGUUGGAUGUGAUGUUUGUAUUCUUUCGGAGCUAAGGAAUCUCGAUUUUUCAACUUAAAUAAUUCCAGUUUUAAAAAAGGGAUCCUAUUUUUAAAUCCUUUCAAAUUUUUGACAUUAAGACAGAAAACUAUUCAAUCUGGUACCAAUUUUGGGCGUUGCGAGGGUGCUAAUCCUUCCUCGUACGUAACUGACUCCCGAACCUGUUUUCUUAAUUUUCGUAGACCAAAACGUUUUAUAAGGUGAUCCAAUCACACCUAAAAAGGUUGGUGGCGACUCCCAUUUUCGUUUUUCAAAAGUCGAUCCUCAUUUUUCAAACAUUCCUUUAAAAAAUGAUUUCGACAAUGAGAGUAGAGACAGGGUUUUUAUUUGUUAAAAUAACAAAUAGGAAUUCUAAUUGAAUUAGGGAGAGACUUUAAGAAAAUUGGGUUGAAUAGAAAAAUUUGGGGUCUAAUGGCAAUUAGCCCAUUCGUAAGGAAAGGUAUUAAUGUAGGAUUACUAACGUGAGAAAAAACCAAUCCAUGAGGCUUAAUUCUUGAUUCUCUGCUCUUACUACCAAGCGAGGCUAGGUUUUAGUUCUUGUUUAUUUUUAAAAAAAAAUUAACCUUCUAUUAUUUGAGAUGUUAUUGGAUUUUUCUUUUAUUUUUUAAAAUUUUUAGUUAUUUUUUAAUCAAAUUAAUUGGACCAACAAACCAAUGACCUAAUCAAUUUAAUCACCGAUCCAAUUCCAAAAACAUUAGUUUAAACUCAUAUCAAUAAGAUGUUAAACAAAAUCUCUAACUACUACCUAUUAAAAUUUUAACAAAAACCAUAUUCAAUUUUUAACUAGACACUUUUUUAACUAUAUUAUUAUUUUUAUAAUAUUAAGCGUAAUAAUUUUUUUCAUUAGGCAUAAGAUGACAAUUGAGGUAGGUACAACAUCUUCAUAAUGUUUAAUAUAUGCAUGGUAGUUCUAAAGUACAGUUAGGUACAACUAAUUUCAUGCACAUAUUUUGCAUAUGCAUAGAUCUUCGUGAUAAGAAAAAGCGGAAGGACAUUGCUUAAGCAAUUAAAAAUAACUUGUAUUUUAAUAAAUUAUUUAUUUUCCUGGCCAAAAAAAAAAAUCUUAUUUGUUUUGCUAAUCCUUUCUUGCAAAAGGUUAUUGUUUUAAAUUUUAGAAAGUUAUCACAUUGAAACAAAUUUGAUUUUUCUUAUAAGGAGAUAAAAUUGAUUUUAAGUGUUGUCCCUUCUUUUUUAUAAAAAAAAAAAGUUAAAUGUCAAAGAUUUUGUACUCCUAUGUAAUUUAAUUUUAAAUUAUUUAAUUUUGUAAUUAUAGAAAUGACAUAAUAACUUUUUGAAUUCUCAAUAUUUAUACUUUUUUGUCAAUUUAGUCCUUACUUUCUAAAAGUAAAUAAAUUGGAACUUUCUUUUUAUAUUUUAAUGAAUUUUUAAAUUAAUUAUUUAAAAAUUUUAUUUUUAAAUUUAAAGAGUUUUAUUUUUUCAUAAAUUUUUUGUAAAAAUUUUACACUUUUUACACUUUUUAGGAUUUUUUGAAAAUAUAAAAAAAUUAUUUAUAUUUAUUUUUAAAAAUUAAAAAUAAAAUUAAAAAAUAUAAAUAUUGAGAGUUAAAAAUUUAUUUUUUUAUAAUUAUAAAAUUAGAUAAAGAGAUCAAUGACUUUUAAAUAAAAAUAUUAAAAUUCAAUAUCUCAAAAUUAAAGUGUAAACACAAAUUUUUAACAUAUUUAAAUCUCUAAAAAGAUUAUACAAAAAUACACCCAUCCCAUCUACCUGUUCGCAAAAUUUUAAGUUUCGACCGUAAAAUAAAAUAUUAUUUUAAUAAUAUGAUUAAAACUAAUAAAAAAUUGAGAAGAUCUUCAUGACAUUGUUGUUGAUUCAAUCUUUUGAUACCAGAGUGAUGAAAUAGAUGGACACAAUUUUAAACACCAAAAUGUGAUUACCUAUUUGUUGUUAUAUAUUUUUUGUCAUCCAUGUUAUUUUUAUAUUUAUAUUUUGAAUUUAUGAUUAUAAUUAAGAGUGAAAUUAAAUUUUUUUUAUUUUUUAAUUAUUGACGUAAAAUUGAGGGGAAAUAAAUUAUUAACCCUUUCAACAAUUAUUCUAAGAUUUAAAAUCACUUCCACGCCCAACAAUUGUUGGAAAUCGCUGUUAUUAUAUAGUUGGUCAAAAUAUGAACUCCCCAUAUGUAUAUAUAUUAUUCAAACGUUUGUCGUCAUAUGACAGAAACUAGUAUAUAAAGCAAACAGGUGGGCAAGUUUUGAAGCACCAAGCAAAAGUACUAAACCUGUACAAAUUUAGUAAGCAACCAAAAGGCAAGAAAUUAACUAUCAUGGCUGCCAAUAUAGCUUUACCAUAUGCAGCGGGCAUCCCAGCUCCAGCAUGCCAGCAGCGUCGUAGAAGCAUGGUGAUCAAGGCGCAGAAAACCAGUAUCAUGGCCAAUCCACCUGCAGUACAGCACUGUGAACAAGCCAGUGGCUUUGGUUCCAUACCACGCCAUCCUCUUACACAGCCUUCAUUCAGUACCAAACGGAACAACACAAUGGUGGUGGGUGCUUAUCCCGACUUGAAAUUAGAAAUUACCCCGGGAAUUCCAGUAUAUACAGACGGGCGGCUUGAGAACUUUUCUGGUGAACUUUUGAAGUUGGACGAUAAAAUCUUUUGGGAAGGGCCUCGACCUGAAUAUCUCGACAAAGAAAUCGAGGAUGGAAACACCGGCUGUUUUUUGCAGAAAGCUGACUCGGGAGGUUCAAUUGGAGGACUCGAAUAUGUAUUCCCAGGAGACGAGUAUAAGUGGGUGAUUGCUUGGAGCAACGCCAGAAAUGAUCUCAAUAAGGUUUUGUAUUCGUAACCUUCAACAACUGACUCAAAUUACUACUAUUUACAGCUUGUACUUACAUAUAUGCAUGUAAUCAAUUAUUCUUAUCUACCUAUCAAUUGCAGGUCUACACUGUGAUCCAUCGUGACGACGUUGAUUGGAAUGAAAUCAAGCAAAGUCUCGAUGCAUCCGGCCAAGAAAGCAUAUUCAACGGCCUUAACCAUGACAUCCCAUACUCUUCAGUCGCUCUGAUUGAUAAAACAAGCCCUACGCCAACAAUGGUUGCAGUACUUCUAAAGGCAGGAGUACCCCUAGCCUCCACCAAAAGCACUCUGACAGCCGCCAAUAUCUCUAAAGACCUUACACAAGCCGAUGGACAAAUCUCUAAAGACCUUAUACAAGCCAACGGCGCAGGGGUAGCACCAGCUACUCAGGAAGCAGAAAAGCAGGUGGCACCAGCUAGUUAGACACGAUCUCGUUAAAGUAUAUAAUUAGCUGGCUUUGUUUAUCGAUCAAACUGUGCUGUGCGGUUAUGUAACUAUAUAUUACUAUUACAAUAAAUUUGAAAGCCAGCAGUGUUUCGACUGUUACGGGUGUCUUGGUUAUGCAAAAUUUCAGAGUAUAUGUAGCUGAUCAUAUCUGAAAAUAAAAAGCCUAUUACUAUCUUAUCAUCUAAUGUUUGCUCCACCUACUUCGUACUUCCUUCUAAACAAGUUCUCAGACAAAGUUGAAAAUAAAGACCUUAAAAACUUUUGAUAGUAUGUUUAUCUAGUAAUAUCUAAAAUCCAAUAAAUAAAAACCGUGACUCCCCAGUUAACCAACAAAAUUACAACUUGCUUAAAUGGAUUAUGUAACUGAUAUUUCCUUUGAUUAGGUUAAAUAAUUUUAUCAAAGAUAUAUGACUUAAAAUUUUAUGGGUGAUCCAUGCCAAAAUAAUUCAAAUCAUGUUUCAUGUCAAAAUUUUAUUUAAACAAAAUCCACAAUUUCCAAAUAUAUAAACUAGAUAUAAUUCGAUUCCUUUUAUUACCUAUGCUCAAAUACAAUAAUUAAUCCUAGUGAGAAUAACUUGAAAACUGCAAUUAACCCAAAUGCUAUAGACUGAAAAUGUCAUGGCUAGAAGAAUUGGUUCAUUUUUUUAGUUUAUCUGUGCAUAUUUAGAAAGUAAAUUGAUUUGGUUUAGUAGUUAAGUGUUCUAAAUUGAGUGCUUGAGGUCUUAUGUUCAAUUCUCUAUCCUUAAAUAUUUUUAUUAAAUUUGUCUCAAUAUCUGGAUUAACAUGUAUAGAUUAUCUUUAAUUUUUGUUUGCUCACCUAUAACAAUCAACCUACUAGUUUGGUGGUAAGGUUUUAGUAUUCCUUUAGAUCUCAAGUUCAAAUCUUGCUGUAUGUGAAAGUGGUAAUUAACCUAAACCCUCUUAAAGAGUGAGUCAAAUGCAAACUCUAAAGUGAUAACAAAUAAAUUAUGAUAUUGUUUUAUUUUCUUUUUAAAUUGAGAAUUAUUUCUCAAAACUCUCUCUCUUGCCAUCCCACUUCCCCCUCAUUCUCCACUUUGUUUUGCACGUUGUUUUCUUUUGUUGUUAUAACGCCCUUUUGCCAAAUUUUCUUUGUUUUCUAUUCCUUCCCAUCUCUUUUGUCUUUCCCUUUUUCUUUAGUUUCCAUAAGAUCACAAUGAACACUCUAAUGUGUAAUAGCCCAAAUUUGACUGGGUUGAAAGCAGAAUAUAAAAAUUAAAAUGUCCAUUUAAAAAGUCCAAUUACAAAACCCUACCCAGUAGGCCCACUGUUACUACCCAGCAACCCAAAUAAACCCAAUAACCCCAUAGCCCGUUACAAUAACCCAAUACACCAAUACAGUCAUGGCUCAAAUUCUUAGCAGGCCCAAUGAGCCCCAAACACACAUCAAACCCUAUAGUUUCUUCCUAACUUUUUUUCCUCGCGCCGUAAGGGAUUCUGGAAGCUUCGGGGAGCAUCUGUCCAGCUCCCCGAAUCGAGGCCAUCAAUGCAGUCAAGGCCGGGACCGUCAUCGCCAUCAUCGAAGCCUUUAUCACCGCCACCAUCAACGCCCAAGACACGCCAGAAUCUGGCAUUGGCUCCAUUAGCGUGCAAACAUCAGUGAUUGAGCAAGAUUCUCGUGGGUUACCUGCGAACAAAAAAGAAACUAAAAUAAAGAGAUUUCAGCAGAUCACAAUCAAAGAUAUGAUACAGCAGACAAGAAAUGGAAAGAAAUCUUUGAUUUCUUUCCAAUUUAUGUAAAUCACAGUAGUGGCUAUAAAAGCCUGAAUCAAACAUUGUAAAAGGACUUUUCUUACGAAAUAGAAAUAUAUAUUCACAGAUAUUCAUUCAAAAAUAUCAACAGUCUCUCAAAAGGUGAUUUACAUCGCAUAUCUUGUGCUUAUAUUUUGAAUAUAUAUGAACUGUUCUAACCUGCAUGAGUAAGGAUCUAAGGGAAGAGAGAUUACCCGUGGAAGGACGAAGGUUUUUAAGCCUUCAGACCACCGUGUACGACAGCGCGUGAGGCGCGUGUGCAAACACUGCACCGUGGCCGGAGGUCGGAGCUGGGACCUCUCUCUUCCCCUUUGCAGAGUUUUUUUUUUUGUUUUUUUUAAAGACCAGUGUUAAAAUGAUCUUUAAGUUGCAAAGUUGGCUUAUAUAGCCUCUUCGAAACGAUAUCGUUUCUACUUAACUCAAUAAGCUCAAAACGGUGUCGUAUUAAGCCAUAGGAUCCGCGCGUUGACCCGAUUACCCGGGGAGGAUCCGCGUGUUUUUAGAAUUGGGUUAAUUACCCAAUCGGUCCUUUCGCCUCUUUUAAUUUAUAAUUACGUAUUAUUUUAUUUUUUUAAUUUGGCCCUAUUAUUUUACAAUUGUUUCAAUUUAGUCUCGACAGUUGUUAAAUUACAUUCUGGGAAAUGUUGCCGUUUUGAGGAAUAGGGCAACUUGCCCAAUGAGUCCCUCUUGUUUUACGCGCGUUUUAAUUAGGGCCUUAAUUCACUGUUAUUUCUUUUAAAUUUCCCCUGAGAUUUUAUUGAACUUCAAAUUUAACCCUAUAUAUUUAUUAUAUUGUUAUUUGUUUUAUUUUUAACCUUGUUUUUAUAUUAUAUAUUAUAAAAUUAUUUUAUUAUAUAUUAUUUAUAUUAUUAUUAUUUAUUAUAUAUUAUUUUUCACAAGUUAUUAUUAUUUUACAUCAUUAUUUAUAUAUUAUUAUAUUAUAUGUUUAUUAUAUAUUAUAUAUUAUUUUUAUAUAUAUUCUUUUAUAUUAUAUAUUAUAAUUAUUUUAUAUAUUAUUAAGUCAUUUUUAUAUUAUUAUACAUUUUUAUCUAUAUAUUAUUAUCAUUAAAGGUUUUAAACUUGUAUUAUAUAUUUAUCUUUAUUUAUAUAUUAAUAAAUUUUUUUAUUUAUAUUCUAUUAUUACACAUUUUGAAGAUAUUAUAAUAUUAUAAUACAUAGUUUUCAUCAUUAAUUAUUCAUUUUAAACUUAUAUUUAUAUAUAUUAUAUAAUUAUUUCAUUAUAAACAUAAAUUCUUUUGCAUAUUUUAUAUUCUAUACAUUAUUUUACUAAACCAAUAUCUUUUGUAUUUUUUAUGUAAUUAUUAUGCUUAUAAAUACAUUUUUAUUAUAUAUUAUAUUUUAAAUUUAUUAUUAAAUAUCACAUUUUUAUUAUUUGUUUAUAUUAUACAUAUAUUUUUUUUUAAACUUUUGUUUUUAUUAUUAUACAAUAUUUAUUUUUACUUUAGUAUUAAUGUAUUAUUGUUAUGUUAUAUAUUAUAUCUUAGACUUUUAUAUUUUAUUUUCAAAUGAAUAUUUUUUUAUAUAUGUACAUUGAUAUAUUGUAUAUCAUGCAUCAUUUAUAUGAUUAAAUAUAUGUUGAAUUAUAUGUUUAGGGAUUUUUACCUAUUUCUUCUUUAAUAUGUAUUCCGUUUUAUGUAUAUCUUUCUUAUUUAAAAAUUGUCAUGUUUUAUUUCUUAUAUAUGUUGAUUAGUGUAUGAUAUUUAUGCCGUUAUGCUCUUACUUUCCUAUCAUUGUAACAUGUUAUCUCGUAUGUUAUGUUAAUAUGCUCCUUCAUGCAUCGAUUUUUUUUUUAAAAAAACGAGACUUCAAAUUUUUCAAAAAAAUAAAAAGGCAAUGCUCGGUGUUUGGAAGCUUCGAGAAAAGUAGUGCCCUAACUUAUUGAGUUGCGACUUUUCUCGUUGAGUUCGAAUAAUCAAGUACCCUUCUAAGUUUUAAAGGUUUUCCAAGUGCAAGCCACUAUAUUGGAAUUUCAAAGCAAUAUGUCCUAACUUAUUGGAUAUAGCGUUUUGUGGUUUCAAGAUAGGAUUUCCAAAAAAGGUUAACUUAAUGUCAAUACUUUGAUACGAGUGAAUCCCAAUUUUCAAAAUUAAAAUAUUUUAAAGAGGACUACAUCUUGAAAUUUUUGAAUUUCCGACAUUAAAGACACUUGAUAAUCAAUUAGGUACCAAUUUUUGGGCGUUACGAGGGUGUUAACCCUUCCUCGAACGUAACCGAUUCCCGAACCCGUUCUUUUAUUUCGUAGACCAAAACUAAUGAUUUUAAAACAAAAUGUUUUAAAGGUGAACCAAUCGCACCUAAAAAGAUUGGUGGCGACUCUUGUUUUUGUUUUUAAAGUCGAUUCCCAUUUUCCAAAACUCGAUUUAAAAAUGGUUUCGACAGCUUGGCGACUCCACUGGGGACUAAUAAGAGAGUCAAGCCGUGUAAUUGAUUAUCUCUUGUCUUAAUGUCAGAAAUUAAAAAUUUUAAAAUUUAAUUCUCUUUGCAUUACAUGUGUUUGUAUUAUUGCAUGUGUUGCUAUAUCCUGAUACGCAUUGCAUUUGCAUGACCGUUGUGGUCACACCCUUAAGUGGGAGUGAGAAGCUACGCCUUCGUGAGGUUUUCGCCUUCGUGCAGGAUAGUGGAUCACUUUCGGGAUACAUCCGUACCUAUGGUUUUGUGAGAUUUUCAUCUCCGUGUAGCCAUAGGAAAAUGUAUUCCCCUGAAUCGAACUCGAUUCAAAUGAGCCUAUAAUGGGUGAAUCGAGGAAUCUGCUGGUUCGGGUACCUCAAACUUUAGAACCAACCUCAUAUCGAAAGACCGUAUAAGCCCAACUUAGUUAGGUUUAAACCUUAGAUAUUACCCUUAUAAGUUAUCAUUGAAAUUUAUUGAUAUCAUGUGAUACUGACUAUCUCUUUUCUUUUGUUUGCACGUCAUUUUGCAUUUACAAAGAUAUCGGUUCACGAUCAGUUUUUAAGUUAGGAAGUUUUAUUAUGGAGAACGGACUUCUUGAUAGAGUGGAAGGCAACGCCAACGUCCAUAGAUGGUCUGAGCAAACUCAACUAGAAAAGGGAGAUAGUAUAGCUGAGGGAUACCUGUCGGAGUUGUCAGAUUAUACUCGUAUUAGUGUCACGCAGAAUAAUCUCCAGGAGCUUAAGGAAAUUUGGGAUCAGUGGGGCAAAGAGACCAAGCAGUUAUUCUACGAUAAUUACGGAGACUUACCGUACUUGCUUGAUGUUCAGAUAGACGAGCACUUAUUCCGAGCCCUUGCUUAGUUUUGGAACCCAGCAUACAAUUGCUUCACUUUUGGGGAGUAGAUAUGGUACCUACUGUGGAGGAGUACACUGCCUUGCUUUGUUGUCCCAGGUUUCAGAAUGAUAGGAUCUAUUCUCGAGCUGCUUGUGUCCCUACUUUUUGGAAGAAAUUGAUGAUUAUUACGGGGAUGAGCGAGCAGUGGGCCACGACCCAAAUUAAGGAAAAGGGUGAGUGCAAGUGCAUUUUGUGGGAUGCUUUGAAAGAUUUGAUUCUGACACACCCUGAUGAGACGAAGAAGGUGGAUGUUUUUGCCUUAAGUUUGUAUGGAUUGAUGGUUUUCCCUAGGGCGUUGGGAUACGUGGAUGAGGCAGCCACGGAUCUUUUUCAUUGACUCAGUAAAAAAGGUCACUUCUGUUCCUGCAAUUUUGGCGAAAACAUUCAGGUCUUUAGGUGCAUGUAGGAGGGAUGGUGCUAGCAGGUUUAUAGGGUGUGCUCAGUUACUUUUGGCUUGGUUCUACAGUCAUUUUCGGUUGAUAGAUAGGGUGGUUUGUCGGGUCUUCUUCGAGGAUUAUUCACCGUUGAAAGACAUAGUAGCUUCAACUAGGAGAGUUGAUGUUCCAGAAGAGAAUUGGAUUGCGCUACUUCAGAACCUUCAGUCGAAAGAUGUCGAGUGGAGGGCUCCGUGGAUGAUUCCUGGUGAGGUUCUUUAUCGAUGCGGCAGUUUUGAUUGGGUCCCCCUGUUGGGAAUUUGGGGUGCCAUUAGUUAUGCCCCUUUGCUCGUGCUGAGGCAGCAUGGUUUGAGACAGUUCGUACUAGCAACUCAGGGGUUGGCUCAAUGUGAGUUCGUAUAUAGAGGAGCCGAUUAAAAGAGGAAGGUUAGUGAAGUUUCUAGUGCUUAGAAGAAGACUUGUCGGUUGAAAGGAGUAGCUAUUAGUCCUGCAACCACACCAGAAUACAUUGAAUGGAGAGGUAGAAGGGUUAACGAUAAUAUCCCUAAGCCAAGUGUGGAAUGAGCUCGACCGAUGGAAGAAUAUUUGCAAGUAAGGCCCUCAGAGUCAAAAAUUAUGAAGCAGGAGUUCGAGAGAAAGAACUUGGAGUUCGAGAAGAGGAUAGCAAAGCUCAAAGAGAAAAAGAUGUACUUGAGUUUGGACGUCAAUGUUCAAAAGAUGGAGCUCGAGAAAGAGAGAAAAGAAAAGAGAAAGAUCGAGAUGAUCUAAAGGAGCAUUACAAAAGGGAACAAGUAUCCUUGAGGAGAGCGAGAGUAGGAGGAUCUUCAGAUCAGUUGCAGAAAGAGGUCCAAGAGGAAAAGGCUAGAGUCGAGUAUUAGGAGAGGAAGUUCCAAGAGAUGCAGGUGUAGAAUUUGGCAUUAGAGGAAGAGAAUAGAAGAUUGAAGAAUAAGGUAACUGAGCUUGGAAGAUCACUACGUUGGCACCAAAACCAUAAUUCUACGGUCGAGUUAAAAGAGCUAAAAAGCAAGGUUGAGGAUUUGGAAGUGGCAUUGCAUGAUGGUGAACUCUGAGUUGAGCAGCUCGAGGCGCAAGAAGAUUAUCUGAAGGGAGAGCUUCAUCAGGCUAGAGGACAGGUUAGAGAAAGGGAUCAUGUCAUUGGUGAAGCCAUAGCCCAGAUUCGAGAGGUUGCUGAAUAUGUGCAAGACUUGGCAAUUCGAGCUGAUGUAUUGAGUUUGAUGUAUUCAUCAUCGUCGGAUAUAGGACAAGAGUUAGCCAUUUUAUUAGAUAGAGUUAAAGCUUUGGGCCUUAGGGCGAAAGCGUAUUUGUAAUCCUCUUGUAUGUAAAGAUAUUCUUUUUCUAAAUAAAAUUUUCUAAAUGAAUUUGAAUCAAAAUCGAUAUCCUUUUUGCAUUCAUGCAUUUGCAUCUCAUAGCAUUUCAUCAUAUCAUUUGCAUUCAAAGUUAUAGAAAGACCUUGAUUAGUUAAAAUUUACUUUAAAAGGUAGAAAGAAAAAUCUGGAAAUCACACAUCCUUACGACACUCACACUAAAACUAAGAGCAUGGAUCAAAGGUUCGAGCAAUUACAAAAAGAUAUGCAAGACCAAAUGCAAGAGUAGUUGGCCAAAAUGCAGAAUGAAAUGAGGGAGCAAAUGCUAGAGGCUCAGAGGAACAUGAUGGCUAAAAUGGCUCAGCUGUUGAGAGCCACUGAUAAGAAAAGCUCCCAUGGCGAUCACUGAAGAAGAGAAUGAGGGUUCUCCUCCGGGUUUUACUCCGCCUCAUGUGCCACUGCAAACCGAAGCACCUCCUAGAAAGCCAUUUGUUACAGUGAGGCAUCAGCAUGAGCCAGUUGAUGCUAGAAUCCCCGUAAAUUUCCCAUCUGGGUUGGGAAAUAAUUUGGGUGAUAGCUCGGUCAACCCUAUCACUCUUGAUCUGGAUUUGAUGGAGAAGGAAAGAAUGGCAACUGAAUCCGCAAAACAAUUGGAAGAUCGUUGCAGGUGGUUAGAGGAGAAGUUUAGGGUUUUGAAAGGCGCUGGCAAUCAUCAUAGGAUUGAUGCAAAAGACCUAAGUUUGGUCCCAGAUUUGGUGCUUCCUCAUAAAUUUAAGAUGCCAAAGUUUGAAAAGUACAACGGAACUACUUGCCUAGAGGCACACAUAACAAUAUUCUGUAGGAGAAUGACUGAAUAUGUGAACAAUGAUCAAUUAUUGAUCCAUUAUUUUCAGGACAGCCUGGUAGGAGCAGCGGCUAGAUGGUACAAUCAAUUGAGCCGUGCAAGAAUUGGUUCAUAGAGAGAUCUGGCACAGGCUUUCAUGCAACAAUACAACCACGUGACUGAUAUGACGCUAGAUAGGAUCACACUUCAAAACAUGGAGAAAAACCCUAAUGAAAAUUUUAGGCAAUAUGCACAACAAUAGAGGGAGGUGGCAAUGCAAGUACAACCACCAUUAUUGGAAAAUGAGACCACCAUGUUAUUUAUUAAUACUUUGAAGGCGCCAUUCUCACACAUAUGAUUGGAAGUACCACGAAAAGUUUCGCGGAUAUAGUUAUGGCGGGUGAGAUGAUUGAGAAUGCCGUGAGGGGCGGUAAAAUCAAGGUGAAUAACAUGAACAGUUUCAACUCCAGGACAGUCACAGUUGGACAACCUAAAGCAGCUACGGGUGAGCAACAAAGUACUCAAAGACAGGAAUUGGGUACAAGACAAAAUUCGGAGAGGAUGCAAUUCACUCUAUCCCUGUGACAUAUCGUGAGCUUUACCAAAGCUUAUACGAUGCACAUGCCAUUGCUCCAUUUCACUUGAAACCGCUGCAGCCACUGUACCCUAAAUGGUAUGAUGCAAAUGCUAAAUGCGAAUAUCACGCGGGAAUAUCGGGGCAUUCAAUUGAAAACUGCACUGGGUUCAAGUAGGUCGUGGAGAGACUCAUCAAAAUGGGGAUUGUAAAAUUUGAUAGUACCCCUAAUACUAAAAACCCGUUACCAGAUCAUGGCAAUGAAAGAGUGAAUGCCAUUGAGGAAACAAAGAAAGGAAAAGUCAAGGAAGAUAUUGUUGAGGUGAAGACACCUAUGAAAGUAAUAUGGGAGGAGACGGUGAAGAGAGGUAUGUUGACCUCUAGAAAAGGAAGAGAAGGAAUAGAGAACCAUUAUGAAUUCCAUGGAGAGGUGGGUCAUAUGAUCCAAAAUUGUGAAGAGUUCAAGGCCAUGGUACAAGGCCUUAUGGUUAACAAAGAACUACAGGUUUCUGAGGGUAGUUCUUGUGAAGGACAAAUAUGUGUGCUGGAGAAUGAACGACAAAGAACCAGCCAACCAAGAAUUAUUAUUUCCUUGCUAGGGAAUAAUGAGGCGGGGUUGCAAACUGGGCCCAAAAUAGUUAUCCAUAAACCCAAUCCUUUCCCUUACAAGGAUGACUAGGAGGGUGCCAUGGAGCUAUGACUACAAUAUAGCAAUACCUAAGGGGAAGAGUAUAGCUAGCGCGGCCAGGGGCACGCAAAAUGAAGGUUCCCAUACACGAAAUGGGAAACGUUAUGAUGGGGGGAACAUCAGAAUGGAGCCCGCAAAGACGAAAGAUGUCAAGGUUGAAAGGGAGAACGAGACUGAAGUACCCAUCAAUGAGCCGGUAAAGGAGGAAGAAGCUAGGGAGUUUCUAAAGUUCCUAAAACAUAGCGAGUAUAGCAUGGUCGAGCAGUUGCGCAAACAGCCAGCACGUAUAUCAAUGUUAGCCCUACUCUUGAGUUCUGAGAUGCAUCGGGAUGCGUUGUUAAAGGUGCUUAAUGAAACAUAUGUCACCCACGACAUAUCCGUUAACAAGCUGGACCGGUUAGUAAACAACAUCAGUGCUGACAAUUUCAUCUAUUUUAAUGAUGAUGAAAUUCCACCUGGAGGCAUCGGGUCAACCAAAGCCCUGCACAUCACUACUCGGUGUAAAGGAUACACACUUUCAAGUGUACUCAUUGAUAAUGGGUUUGCUUUGAACGUCCUCCCAUUAUCCACAUUAAAUAGAUUACCCAUUGAUAGUUCACACAUGAAAGCAUGUCACUAUGUGGUAAGAGCUUUUGAUGGAGCUGAAAGGAAAGUAAUGGGACGAAUUGACAUCCCUCUGGAGAUUGGGCCAAAUACGUAUGAAGUUGAUUUCCUGGUGAUGGAUAUCAAACCCUUCUAUAAUUGUUUGUUGGGGAGACCAUGGAUACACUCGGCAGGAGCGGUGCCCUCCUCACUACACCAAAAAUUGAAGUUAGUGACAGAUGGACGCUUAAUAACCAUCAAUGCGGAAGAGGACAUCAUAGCGGCAGUCACCAGCAAGGCCCCUUGUAACGCCCCAAUUUUCUGGAAUUCUGUGAAUGUUGGCAUAGGUUUAAUUAUGUUAGUGGGCCUCUAGAAGGCCCAAGCUUAAGAUAGAACCCGGUAAUUUUAGUUAAUUUUUGUUCCAUAAGAAAAAGGGAGUGAAAUUAUGAAAUAGGACCUAUGUGAGUGAAAUUAUGAAAUAGGACCUAUGUGAAAAUGUUUGAAAAUGCUAUAGGCUAAUUUGUAGUGGCCAAAUAAAUAGGAGUGCAAAAUAGGAGGAUUUGCAUGACAAACCUCCCAUUUUACAUGAAGUGGCCAGCCAUCAUGUUGUUGUAGACAAUAUGAGCACUUGAUAUCCAUAAUUCAUGGUACAAAUUGAUAAUGGGUUAGGUAAAUGUUCCAUGAUAAUGGUUUAGGUAAAUGUUCCAUGAUGGGCAUUUCAUGUCUUUUGUAUUAAAGAAUUAAAUGGAUGAAAUAUGAAAUUUUAUUAAAAGAAAAAUGGGUGAAAAGAACAAAGUUUUGUCCAUCUUUGUUCAUCAUAGCCUAAAGUUAGAGAAGAGAAAGGAGAGGAGAAAGCUCUUGAAUGUUCGGUCACUUGGGGAAGAAAAUUGAAGGUAAGUUCAUGGUAGUUUGCUUCUAUCUUGAUGUUCAUGAGUUCUUCUUGAUUCUACCUUAACUCUUGAAGCAUAUUUUGGUUUUUAGUUGUGUUGUGAGCAUUUAGUCAUGAAUUAAAAUGAAGGAAAUGGUUGUUGUUUCAUGUUCUUUUGAUGAAAAAUGGAAGAUAGGUGAAGCUGAGCCAAACAAAUGAGCAUGCAUGUGCCUUAGAUGCUAAGGGGAAAAAUCGUUAACAUGUUGUGCUUUAAAAUGAUGAAAUGGAGAUUAUACUUAAGUAAAAUCAUAGAUAUGUGAUGAUUGAUUGGUGAUAUACAUGUUUAAAUAACAAGCAUGCAAGUUAGGUGUGAAAGAGUGAUUUGGUAAUAAAUCUGCUUGGGACAGCAGCAGUAACGUGAAUUUGGAAAAUCACCAUAAAUUGUGGGAGAUGAGUUAAAAGCUGCAUAAAUUAUAUAAUUAAAUCUAAAUGAGUCUAGUUUCAAAUGGAAUAAACGAGAACAUAUUUUGAAUUCUGUACAAUGAGAAAUUUGAUUCGUAAUGAGGAGUGGUUAGAUUAGUCAAACAAUGAAACAUGAGAAACUUUAAGAAAAAUCUGGUAUUGAUUGGCCAUACCAAAAAUUCUGAAAAUUUUAUGGAUAGAAGAUAUAUGAGUCUAUUUUCAGGAAAAAUUAACGGCACUUGAUUUGGAGUUUCGUAGCUCCAGUUAUAAAUAAUUUAGUGACUGUUGCUCAGGAAGACAACUUGCAGUGAAAUUAUGAUUAUGUGGUAAACAUUGACAAAAAUUUGUUAAUGAGUUGCUUAUUGAUUUCUUAUAAGCUUACUAUGAUCUGUAGGUGUGGUUGGCCGAAUAUUGUAAGGGGUUAAUACGUAGUUUGUAUUUGAUUAGUUACAUUAACGUGUUAGUAAUCCAAUUGUAGGCGGUUCGUGUGUGAAUCUCGUCAGCAUAUCGUCGCAAACAGGUGUGUAACUGACACCCUCUCAUAGACUAGAUUGGCAAAAGCCGAAAAGCCGAAAUGCCGAAAAGUCAGUAUUUUGGGAAUUUGCGAGUGUGCGAAUGCUCGUAAGAUAGUUGGGUUUGUAUAUUUGGCAAUUUAAAGUAAUAAACUACAGUACGCGCGAUUUCGUACAUUUUGAUAAUUUGGGCUUAAAGGGCCAAAGAUCGAGUUCAUGGGCCAACAGGCCCAAAUCGGUAAGUAUGCGCGGUAAGUGUUCUGAUAGUACGUAAAUAGUUAGGAUAUGCAUGAAAACCCUAAAAGCAGCUAAAUUACUAUAAUACCCCUAUGUAUGGAAAAUUACUGUUAUACCCCUAGGUGCAAAAUUACCGUUAUACCUAGGGUUAAUUUUGACUGAAAAGCAUGACGAUCUGAUUCUGUAUGAUGUAUGCCAUGAUUAUAUAUCUGUUGCAUGGGGACAUGGGUUAUAUUAUGGAGGAAGCAUCCCGGUGGCUAUGCCACAAUUAUCUGAUCUGGUGGCUCUGCCACAUAUAUCUGUUCUAGUGGUUAUGCCACGAUUAUCUGAUCUGGUGGCUCUGCCACAUAUAUCUGUUCUGGUGGCUCUUCCACAAUAUCUGUAUCUGGUGACUUCGUCACAAUAUCUGGCAGCCUCGCUGCGAUUUCUGUGGUGUGUAGCAGUUGGGUGGGUCGAGUAGUCUCCCCACAUGGUGUAAGGCUGGUACGGGGGUGUUAUGGAUGAAUCUGGGUUGGGAUUUGUGUAUUCAUGUAAUAUCUGUUCUGAUCUGUUAUGGGCCUAUGGGCUUUAUUCUGAAUUUCUAUUUUGGGCUAAGGCCAACUUAUUCUGUUUGUUUGGUUUGAGCUGAUAUAGGCUAUGGUUGGGUUAAUUUACACACUGAGUUUCCCCAAACUCACCCCUUUUAUUUCCAUCCACGCAGGUAAUCCCCAACCAUAGUGGGCUUGGAGCUGUGAGGGAAUUCGGAGUGGCCACCCGUUCUGAAAGUUUGAUUUUCUUCUGGUGAACUGGAUAUCCUUUUAUUUACGUUUGAGGUUUUGGGUUUUUUUUAAAUGUAAUAAGGCCGUUUAAUUAUUCUUGAUGGUUUUAAUAUGUGUUACUAAGAUAAGUAUUACUUAUUUUAACUGUUGAAGUUGGAAAGAUUUAGGGCGCGUUUUCAAAAACAACAAUUGAUUUCAAAAUACCACGAUAACAAGCAAAGCUUCCGCAAUGAAAGUAUUUUCCAAAAUUAAUCACUUUUCCUAAAAAGGACUUAAUCAAAUCGGUUUCCUAGAAAUAUACAUGACGUUAAGGUGUGGCAAUGGCGGUAUGCAUGUCUAGGAUUGGAUCCGAAUGGAGCUUGGUACUUAAGCAGUCCGAUAGACUCACCUCCUCUUUUCCGAUUUCCUACCUGGUGCACAGCUUCCAUUCACUUUAACCUAUAAUAAAAUUAUCUUUUAAAACACUAAGUAAGUUUUUCUGGAUCAACAAUAUAAAAUGUUUUGAACGCUUCGAUGUGGCAUGUCGAUCUGGCCAUAACGUCUGGGCCGGGUUUGGGGUGUUACAUUUAGUGGUAUCAGAGCCUAGGUUGCAACAACUCGACUGUGGAAUGGGUUUACAAAAACAAAGAUUUUCGAAAGCGAAAAUUUUAUAAAGAAUGCGAAAAACUCGAUUUUCAAAAUUUAGAUCUUUAGAAGGUGGCAUUCCGAAUCUCCGGCUCAAGUCUGUAAGUAUUCUGAAUUUUUUUGAUUAUUUUCCUGAAUUAUCUGUCUGUACUGAAACCCUAUUAGGAUACUCUAGAUAGGAUGAUACUGAAACCAUAGGAAAAUCUGAUAAGAGACUGAAACUGUAGCUAGACUUUAAUUCUGCGAAAACAAACUCUGAACUACUGUCUGAUUCAUAAAACAUCUGCAAUAAACACUGGAAUAUUAAUUGAUGCAUAAAAAUUCGUAAUCAAGAUAAUACGAUAUGAGUACAAGAGGCCGUGGACAGAGCCGAGGAAGUGCUCAAGCGAGAUCUUCGUCUUCGAGACAUAUGCCGGCGGUGGAUGCACCGGUACCAUCGACAACGGAAGUGGAGUCUCAUGAUCGUGGUGCCGGGGAUGACGCUCUGUCACAGGCAAUGCUUCGUGUUCUGGACAGGGUUGCCGGGACAAGUUCGGGCAACGAAAUUCAAGGAUCAAUUUCUGAACGACUCCGGGCCAACGGAGCGGAGAUCUUUAAGGGUGUGUCUGGUAUCGCCUCGAAUGUGGCAUAAUAUUGAUUGGAGGCUAUAGAACGGAUUAUAGACAACUUGGACUACUCUGAGGAGAUUGUGAGUGGGGUAUCUGUACUAAGUCCUUUAGGUCACUCGGUUAGGGUAGACAAACUGUAUAGGGAUAUACCCUUACAAACUCAAGGUAGGUUUUUCCCUGGAGAUCUGAUGGAGUUACCAUUCGGAGAGUUUGACCUCAUUUUGGGAAUAAACUGGCUUGUUAAGCAUAAGGUGGCCCUGGAUUGUGCUGCUAAACGAAUGGUGUUAAGGACCACAAAGGAUGAGGAGGUUAUAGUGAUAGGUGAGAGAAGGGAUUAUUUGUCCAAUGUGGUGUCGGCUUUAAGAGCUGAAAAGUGGAUUCGGAAAGGUUGUGAGGCCUAUUUGGCAUUUGUAAGUUAGUCAGAAGAGGAGGGAUUGACAGUGGAUAAGGUUAGGACCGUAAAGGAGUUCCAAGAUAUUUUUCCGGAGGAGCUUCCAAGAUUGCCUCCGAACCGAGAAGUUGAGUUUGGAAUAGAUUUUUUGCCUGGAACAGCGCCCGUGUCCAUCGCACCGUAUAGGAUGGCACCGAAGGAGUUAGUGGAGUUAAAGGCUCAAGUUCAAGAGUUGUUGGAUAGGGGCUUCAUUAGGCCAAGCAUGUCUCCAUGGGGAGCACCGGAGCUAUUUGUGAAGAAGAAGGAUGGUACAAUGCGGAUGUGCAUUGAUUAUCGCCAGUUUAACAAACUAACAAUUAAGAAUAAGUAUCCACUGCCAAGGAUUGAUGAUCUAUUCGACCAGCUUAGAAGAGCUUUUGUAUUUUCCACGAUCGACCUCCGAUCGGUCAAAGAGGUGGAUAUCCAUAAGACGACAUUCAAGACUCGGUAUGGUCAUUACAAGUUUUUGGUUAUGCCAUUUGGACUGACGAACGCUCCUGCAGCAUUUAUAGAUCUGAUGAAUCGGGUGUUCCAACCAUUCUUGGAUCGAUUCGUAGUCGUCUUCAUUGAUGAUAUCCUGGUAGAUUCUGAAACUGAAGCGAAACAUGAUGAGCAUCUCCGUAUAAUGCUGCGAGUGUUAAAAGAGAAGGAACUCUUUGUGAAGUUCAGCAAGUGUGAAUUUUGGUUGAGAGAGGUAACCUUCUUAGGACAUGUGGUCUCUGCCGAAGGGAUUAAGGUGGACCCUCGAAAGAUUGAAUCAAUUUUGGAGUGGAAGCCACCUAGGACGGUGUCGAAAAUUCAAAGUUUCCUAGGGUUGGCAGGAUACUACAGAAGGUUUGUGGAAGGUUUUUCUGUUAUGGCAGCACCCCUAACAAAACUCAUAAGGAAAGGAGAACCGUUUGUAUAUACUGAGAAGCAGCAGUGAGCUUUUGAGAAGUUGAAGAAAGUUCUGACUGAAGCACCUGUGUUAAUUCAGCCGGAGUCUGGGAAAGAUUUUAGUGUGUACAGUGACGCAUCACACGUGGGUUUGGGCUGCGUGUUAAUGCAAGAGGGUAAGGUGGUUGCAUAUGCAUCACAACAGCUUAAGCCUCAUGAGGGGAACUAUCCGACUCAUGAUUUAGAGUUGGCAGCAGUGAUAUUUGCACUUAAGAUUUGGAGACAUUACUUGUACGGAGAAAGGUGUAUUAUAUACACUGACCAUAAGAGUCUUAAGUAUUUGUUGACUCAGAAGGAGCUGAACCUUAGGCAAAGGAGAUGGAUUAAGUUACUUAAGGAUUAUGACUGUUCGAUCGAGUAUCACCCAGGCAAGGCUAAUAUGGUAGCCGAUGCUCUAAGUCGUAGAGCUGUAUCUGAUCUAAGAGCAAUGUUUGCUUGUCUGAGCCUGUAUGAUGAUGGAAGUUUGUUGGCUGAGUUGCAAGUGAGGCCAACCUGGGUGGAUCAGAUUAAGGAAAAGUAGUUAAACGAUGAGUCUUUGGUUGCUCGUUUUCAACAAGUUAAGGAAGGGGAAACUUCUGAGUUUGGAUUAAAUGGCGAAGGAGUUCUGUGUUUCCGAGGAAGAAUUUGUGUUCUGAAGGGCUCUGAUUUGAGGCAGACAAUAUUGAAACAUGGGAAACUUUAAGAAAAAUCUGGUAUUGAUUGGCCAUACCAAAAAUUCUGAAAAUUUUAUGGAUAGAAGAUAUAUGAGUCUAUUUUCAGGGAAAAUUAACGGCACUUGAUUUGGAGUUUCGUAGCUCCAGUUAUAAAUAAUUUAGUGACUGUUGCUCAGGAAGACAGCUUGCAGUGAAAUUAUGAUUAUGUGGUAAACAUUGACAAAAAUUUGUUAAUGAGUUGCUUAUUGAUUUCUUAUAAGCUUACUAUGAUCUGUAGGUGUGGUUGGCAGAAUAUUGUAAGGGGUUAAUACGUAGUUUGUAUUUGAAUAGUUAGAUUAGCGUGUUAGUAAUCCAAUUGUAGGCGGUUCGUGUGUGGAUCUUGUCAGCAUAUCGUCGCAAACAGGUGUGCAACUGACACCCUCUCAUAGACUAGAUUGGCAAAAGCCGAAAAGUCGAAAUGCCGAAAAGUCGGUAUUUUGGGAAUUUGCGAGUGUGCGAAUGCUCGUAAGAUAGUUGGGUUUGUAUAUUUGGCAAUCUAAAGUAAUAAACUACAGUACGCGCGAUUUCGUACAUUUUGAUAAUUUGGGCUUAAUGGGCCAAAGAUCGGGUUCAUGGGCCAACAGGCCCAAAUCGGUAAGUAUGCGCGGUAAGUGUUCUGAUAGUACGUAAAUAGUUAGGAUAUGCAUGAAAACCCUAAAAGUAGCUAAAUUACUAUAAUACCCCUAUGUAUGGAAAAUUACUGUUAUACCCCUAGGUGCAAAAUUACCGUUAUACCCCUAGGGUUAAUUUUGACUGAAAAGCAUGACGAUCUGAUUCUGUAUGAUGUAUGCCAUGAUUAUAUAUCUGUUGCAUGGGGACAUGGGUUAUAUUAUGGAGGAAGCGUCCUGGUGGCUAUGCCACGAUUAUCUGAUCUGGUGGCUCUGCCACAUAUAUCUGUUCUGGUGGCUCUUCCACAAUAUCUGUAUCUGGUGACUUCGUCACAAUAUCUGGCAGCCUCACUGCGAUUUCUGUGGUGUGUAGCGGUUGGGUGGGUCGAGUAGUCUCCCUACAUGGUGUAAGGCUGGUACGGGGGUGUUAUGGAUGAAUCUGGGUUGGGAUUUGUGUAUUCAUGUAAUAUCUGUUCUGAUCUGUUAUGGGCCUAUGGGCUUUAUUCUGAAUUUCUAUUUUGGGCUAAGGCCAACUUAUUCUGUUUGUUUGGUUUGAGCUGAUAUAGGCUAUGGUUGGGUUAAUUUACACACUGAUUUUCCCCAAACUCACCCCUUUUAUUUCAAUCCACGUAGGUAAUCCCCAACCAUAGUGGGCUUGGAGCUGUGAGGGAAUUCGGAGUGGCCACCCGUUCUGAAAGUUUGAUUUUCUUCUGGUGAACUGGAUAUCCUUUUAUUUACGUUUGAGGUUUUGGGUUUUUUUUAAAUGUAAUAAGGCCGCUUAAUUAUUCUUGAUGGUUUUAAUAUGUGUUACUAAGAUAAGUAUUACUUAUUUUAACUGUUGAAGUUGGAAAAAUUUAGGGCACGUUUUCAGAAACAACAAUUGAUUUCAAAAUACCACGAUAACAAGGACUUAAUCAAAUCGGUUUCCUAGAAAUAUACAUGACGUUAAGGUGUGGCAAUGGCGGUAUGCAUGUCUAAGAUUGGAUUCGAAGGGAGCUUGGUACUUAAGCAGUCCGAUAGACUCACCUCCUCUUUUUCGAUUUCCUACCUGGUGCACAGCUUCCAUUCAGUUUAACCUAUAAUGAAAUUAUCUUUUAAAACACUAAGUAAGUUUUUUUGGAUCAACAAUAUAAAAUGUUUUGAACGCUUCGAUGUGGCAUGUCGGAUCUGGCCAUAACGUCUGGGCCGGGUUUGGGGUGUUACAUUUAGUGGCAUCAGAACCUAGGUUGCAACAACUCGACUGUGGAAUGGGUUUACAAAAACAAAGAUUCUCGAAAACAAAAAUUUUAUAAAGAAUGCGAAAAACUCGACUUUCAAAAUUUAGAUUUUUAGAAGGUGGCAUUCCGAAUCUCCGGCUCAAGUCUGUAAGUAUUCUGAAUUUUUCUAAAUAUUUUCCUGAAUUAUCUGUCUGUACUGAAACCCUAUUAGGAUACUCUAGAUAGGAUGAUACUGAAACCAUAGGAAAAUCUGGUAAGAGACUGAAACUGUAGCUAGACUUUGAUUCUGCGAAAACAAACUCUGAACUGCUGUCUGAUUCAUAAAACAUCUGUAAUAAACACUGGAAUAUUAAUUGAUGCAUAAAAAUUCGUAAUCAAGAUAAUACGAUAUGAGUACAAGAGGCCGUGGACGGAGUCGAGGAAGUGCUCCAGCGAGAUCUUCGUCUUCGAGACAUAUGCCGGCGGUGGAUGCACUGGUACCAUCGGCAACGGAAGUGGAGUCUCAUGAUCGUGGUGUCGGGGAUGAUGCUCUGUCACAGGCAAUGCUUCGUGUUCUGGAAAGGGUUGCCGGGACAAGUUCGGGCAACGGAAUUCGAGGAUCGAUUUCUGAACGACUCCGGGCCAACGGAGCGGAGAUCUUUAGGGGUGUGUCUGGUAUCGCCUCGAAUGUGGGAUAAUAUUGAUUGGAGGCCACAGAACAGAUUAUGGACAACUUGGACUACUCUGAGGAGAUUGUGAGUAGGGUAUCUGUACUAAGUCCUUUGGGUCACUCGGUUAGGGUAGACAAACUGUAGUCUUUAGAAAUUUUUCAGAGUAAUUCUCGAAACAUGUUUGUUACUUUAGGGCCUAGGAGUAGUAAGAUUAUGUUUGUGGAAAGAGGUCUAUGUUCAUCUAUAAUUAUUUAAAUAAAACAUAACUUUUAUCAAUUUAAACGAGUAUUGUUUCAUUUUUAUCGACCAAUAUUCCUUUAAAUUCUGGAAAUUCUUAUUCUUUUAUUCAUAGCACAUAAACAAUCAUUCUUAGAUUCAUUCAUUCUUUGUAUAUCCUUUCAUACCACCACAGGUCCCUAGAUAUCAAUGAUAUGAGCGAUGAUACUGCAGCUCCUAAUUUCUCUAGCGAGCAAAACGUGUGUUUAGAGGAACUUUAGGAUUUUGAAGAUGUUCAAGAUUGUGACAUUUCUCUCGAUCUAUUAAGAAUGGUAAAGCAAGAGGAUAAACAAAUCAUGCCACAUGAGAAAAAGGCAAUAGAGAAUAUAACCCUAGAGGAAGGAAAGAGUUGAAAAUCGGAACCCUAAUUAGCGAGGACACAAGACAUGGUCUGGUUGAGUUGCUUUGAGAGUUCAAUGAUAUCUUCGCCUGGUCAUAUCAGGAUAUGCCCGGAUUGAGUACCGACAUUGUGGUACAUCGACUUCCGAUAAGACAGGAUUGUAAGCCAGUCUAACAGAAGUUGCAAAGAAUGAGGCCAGAUAUCGUUUUGAAAAUAAAGGAUGAAGUCAAGAAGCAGUUCGAUGCAGGAUUCUUGCAAGAAGUGAAGUACUCCGAAUGGGUAGCUAACAUUGUGCCUAUUCCUAAGAAGGAUGGAAAGGUACGAAUGUGUGUUGAUUACAGAGAUCUGAACAAAGCAAGCCCAAAGGAUAAUUUUCCUUUACCACACAUUGACACUUUAGUAGACAACACAGCGGGAUAUUCGUUGUUCUCCUUUAUGGAUGGUUUCUCAGGAUACAAUCAGAUAAGGAUGCAUCCGGAGGACAUGGAUAAAACCAUAUUCAUAACCUUGUGGGGCACCUUUUGCUACAAAGUAAUGCCAUUUGGACUAAAAAACGUAGGGGCAACAUACCAACGGGCCAUGGUGAACUUGUUUCACGACAUGAUGCAUAAGGAUAUUGAGGUAUAUGUUGAUGAUAUGAUUGCCAAGUCGCGCACAGAAAAAGAGCACAUUGAGGUCUUGAGAAGAUUGUUCUUGAGGUUGAGAAAAUUUCAGUUGAAGCUCAAUCCAGCAAAGUGUACUUUUGGAUCCAGAUUAGGAAAGUUAUUAGGCUUCGUAGUCAGUGAAAAAGGAAUUGAAGUCGACUCAGACAAGGUCAGAGCCAUACGAGAGUUACCUCUGCCACGUACUCAGAAGGAAGUUCGAGGAUUCCUAGGAAGAUUGAAUUACAUUGCUCGGUUCAUUUCACAACAAACCGAGAAAUGUGAUCCUAUCUUUCGCCUUCUCAGAAAGCACAAUCAAGGUACUUGGGAUGAGGAAUGCCAGAAUGCUUUUGAAGAGGUCAAGCGGUAUUUGUUGAAUGCUCCGUUAUUCUCUCCACCUAGCCCAGAUAAACCAUUAAUACUGUACUUGUCAGUGUUCAGUAAUUCUAUGGGAUGUGUGCUUGGCCAGCAUGACGAAUUAGGGAAAAAGGAGAAGGCAAUUUAUUAUCUCAGUAAGAAGUUCACUGACUGUGAGAUGAGAUAUUCACCAAUUGAAAAGUUGUGUCGUGCGCUGAUUUGGACAACUCGAAGAUUAAGACAGUACAUGCUAUACCAUACCACUUGGCUCAUCUCAAAACUUGAUCCGUUGAAAUACAUGAUGGAGUCAACGGCUCUAAAUGGGAGAACGGCGAGAUGGAAAAUUUUGCUUUCGGAGUUUGAUAUAGUCUACAUAAGUCAGAAGGCUAUAAAAGGAAGUGUGGUAGCAGACUUCUUGGCUAGUAGGGCUCUAGAGGAUUAUGAGCCAUUGAACUUCGAUUUUCCAAAUGAGGAGUUGAUGUGUAUAGCAAUGACUGAAAAUUCUUCUUGGAAGCUCAAUUUUGAUGGGGCUCUAAUGUAGUCAGAAAUAGAAUUGGGGCAGUCUUGGUAUCUCCGAAUGGCGAUCAUUAUCCUUUUACGUGCAAGUUGGACUUUGAUUGCACGAACAAUAUGGCUGAAUAUGAAGCAUGCAUCAUGGGACUUCAAGUAGCUAUAGAGCGAGGUAUAAAAACCUUAGAAGUAUAUGGAGAUUCGGCAUUGGUUGUUUAUCAGCUUAGAGGUGAAUGGGAGACAAGGGACCCUAAAUUGAUUAGUUAUCAAAAUGUGGUUUUGGGGUUGCUUGAGGAAUUUGAUAGCAUCACCUUCAAUUAUCUCCCACGAGACGAAAAUCAGAUGGCAGAUGCUUUAGCAACCUUGGCCUCAAUGAUCAAGGCGAAUAAAGAAGAAGAAAUAAAGCCAAUUCAAAUGAGAGUUUACGAGGCUCCAGCUUAUUAUUGUAACAUUGAGAAGGAAGGAAAUGACAAUAACCCCUAGUAUCAAGAUAUAUUGCGAUAUGUGAGAGAUCGUAAAUGCCCUGAACAGGCCAGUGAAAAUGAUAAAUGAACUUUGAGGAGGUUAGCUUGCGACUAUGUUUUAGAUGGAGAUAUCCUGUACAAGAGACGGAAAGAUCAAGUACUUUUGAGAUGUGUCGAUGCUGUGGAAGCUAAGCUAAUUUUAGAAGAAGUUCAUGAAGGUGUAUGCGGGACGCAUGCAAAUGGGUUCACGAUGGCAAGGCAAAUCAUGAGGUUUGGCUAUUAUUGGGCCACCAUGGAAGGGGACUGUAUUAACUAUACCAAGAAAUGCCAUAAGUGUCAGAUUUAUGGAGACAAAAUUCAUAUACCACAUUCACCUUUACAUGUUAUGACUUCUCCAUGGCCCUUCUCCAUGUGGGGCAUGGAUGUUAUCAGACCAAUAUCACUAAAAGCUUCGAAUGGACAUCGGUUUAUCUUCGUGGUAAUUGACUACUUUACAAAAUGGGUAGAGGCCGCCUCUUAUACUAAUGUUACUAAGUCAGCAGUGAGUCGAUUCUUAAAGAAAGAGAUCAUUUGUCGGUAUGGAAUGCCUGAGAAGAUCAUAUCUGACAAUGCAUUGAAUUUGAAUAACAAAGCGAUAGCGGAGGUUUGUGACCAAUUCAAAAUCAAGCAUCAUAAUUCUUCCCCUUAUCGUCCAAAAAUGAAUGGGGCAGUAGAGGCUACCAACAAGAACAUUAAGAAAAUAGUGGGGAAGAUGGCUGAGACCUAUAGAGAUUGGCAUGAGAAGUUACCGUUUGCACUCCUGGCUUAUCGAACAUCUGUUAGAACCUCUACUGGGGCAACCCCAUUCUCGUUAGUUUAUGGGAUGGAAGCAGUGUUACCUAUUGAAGUAGAAAUACCUUCUCUUCGAGUUUUGACAGAGAUAAGGUUAUAUGAGGCUGAGUGGGUUCAAUCCCGGUAUGACCAGUUGAACUUGAUUGAGGAAAAGAGGCUAAAAGCCAUUCGACAUGGUCAGAUGUAUCAGAAGCGAAUGAUGCGAGCUUAUGACAAGAAAGUUUGACCAAGAGAAUUCCAUGAGGGAGACCUUGUACUGAAAAAGAUCCUUCCUAUUCAAAAGGAUUUUAGAGGAAAAUGGAUGCCGAAUUGGGAAGGGUCGUAUGUCAUGAAAAAAGCUUUCUCCGGUGGUGCAUUGAUCUUAGUGAAAAUGGAUAGGAAAAGUUUACCCAAUCCAGUGAACUCGGACUCAGUUAAAAAAUACUUUGUCUAAAGAAGAAGAGAAUCUAAGGUGAAAACUCGUAAAGGGCGCCUUGAGAUUUAAAAAAAAAAAACAGAGAGGCCAAGGUGAAAACCCGCAUAGGGCACCUUGUGACCAAAGGGGUUUUGAGUUGAAAACCCGAAAGGGCAGCUCAAAUUUUGAAGAGUACACAAUGAUCUUGCUACAAUGAGUGAAGAAUGCUGCAAACUGGGGCAUCAACAGAGUACUUAGGAUCUUUUAAACAUAUGUUGAACUCAAGAAAGACUUCAUGGAGCUGGUGUAUAGGCACUCAAGCGGCGAUAUCUAGAGGAUCUAACUUUUAUCUUGUUUGCUAUCUUUAGACUCUAUUUCUUCUAGAAGAUAGAUUAGCAGAUUAAUUCCCUUUUGUAUCUUUUUGAUAAUUUAUUCAAAUCUAAUUAUUCUUAAAAAUUUAUUCAUCUUUCACUAUUCUUUAAGUAUGUUGCAUUGAAAUAAUGAUAGAUGAACUAAAUAUGUUCACAAAUGAAGUUUUGCGCAUUACUCUGAAAUUUCUAGAUAACACAAGAAACUAAAACAGGACAAUUGUUCGAGAAAUUCAUGUAAGUAAGGGAUGAAAGAACUCGAGGAAUUCCUUUCUUCCAGUCCAAAAGGAAAAUAGACAAAGCCAAUAAUUCAGUUCUUACAGACAUCCUCAAUGGAUCGUAGCAUUGGAGGACGGCUUACAGGCUGAGCAUGAAUGAAACUUUGAGAAAAGAAAAGACAAAUGAAGGAAUGAAUGAUGACGUCUAGGAUAGGGGUCAUAUUCAUGACAUUUUUCAUCAUAACAUGUUUAAUUAGGAAAAUUCGACUCACUUCGAGCAUGGCAUCCUAAAUUAUCAAGCAUAAUCAUUUUACAGGUUAUCGGAGACAACGCGCUUUAAAACCCAAAACAGUAGGGAAACAGGCCGCAGCAUAGCAGAUCUGACCUUCAUCAGGGCAGAUCCAAGAUGACAGAUCUUAUCUCUCUGUAUUCGGCGGGGAGCAGAUCGAAGAUAUAGCUGAUUUGGCUUUCACGUGUUUACGAUGAAGCAAAUCUAAGAUGAUUUGUCGUCUCUGUAUUGUUAGAGAACAAAUCAAAGUUUGGCAUUUCCACUUUGAUAUAAGGCAAACACAUAGCAGAUCUUACCUUUAGAUGUUUACGCUGAAGCAGAUCCAAGAUUACAGUUCUUAUCUCUCUGUAUUCGGUGGGGAGCAGAUCGAAGAUAUAGCUGAUUUGGCUUUCACGUGUUUACGAUGAAGCAAAUCUAAGAUGAUUUGUCAUCUCUGUAUUGUCAGAGAACAAAUCGAAGUCUGGCAUCUCCACUUCAAUGGAGAACAGACACAUAGCAGUCUCACCUUCAGAUGUUUACACUGAAGCAGAUCCAAGAUGACAAAUCUUAUCUCUCUGUAUUCGGCGGGGAGCAGAUCAAAGACAUAGCUGAUUUGGCUUUCACGUGUUUACGAUGAAGCAAAUCUAAGAUGAUUUGUCAUCUCUUUAUUGUUAGAGAACAAAUCGAAGUCUGGCAUCUCCACUUCAAUGGAGAGCAGAUACACAGCAGAUCUGACCUUCAGACGAUUAGACUGAAGCAAGAUCUAAGAUGAUUUCGCAUCCUUGUGCUUACAAGGACAAAUCAAAGACAUAGCUGAUUUGGCUUUCACGUGCUUACGAUGAAGCAAAUCUAAGAUAAUUUGGCAUCUCUGUAUUAUCAGAGAACAAAUCGAAGAAGCAGAUUUGGCGUUCUUAUGAUCGAAGAUAUCGACAUGACAGUCAAGGCCGGGACCAUCACCGCCAUCAUCGAAGCCUUCAUCACCGCCACCAUCAACGCGCAAGACACGCCAGAAUCUGGCAUUGGCUCCAUUAGUGUGCAAACAUCAGUGAUUGAGCAAGAUUCUCGUGGGUUACCUGAGAACAAAAGGGAAACUAAAAUAAAGAGAUUUCAGCAGAUCACAAUCAAAGAUAUGAUACAGCGAUAAGAAAUGGAAAGAAAUCUUUGAUUUCUUUCCAGUUUAUGUAAAUCACAGUAAUGGCUACAAAAGCCUGAAUCAAACAUUGUAAAAGGACUUUUCUUACGAAAUAGAAAUAUAUAUUCACACAUAUUCAUUCAAAAAUAUCAACAGUCUCUCAAAAGGUGAUUUACAUCGCAUAUCUUGUGCUUAUAUUUUGAAUAUAUAUGAACUAUUCUAACCUGCAUGAGUAAGGAUCUAAGGGAAGAGAGAUUACCCGUGGAAGGACGAAGGUUUUUAAGCCUUCAGACCACCGUGUACGACGGCGCGUGAGGCGCGUGUGCAAACACUGCACCGUGGCCGGAGGUCGGAGCUGGGACCUCUCUCUUCCCCUCUGUAGAGUUUUUUUUUUGUUUUUUUUAAAGACCAGUGUUAAAAUGAUCUUUAAGCUGCAAAGUUGGCUUAUAUAGCCUCUUCGAAACGACAUCGUUUCUGCUUAACUCAAUAAGCUUAAAACGGUGUCAUAUUAAGCCAUAGGAUCCGCGCGUUGACCCGAUUACCCGGGGAGGAUCCGCGUGUUUUUAGAAUUAGGUUAAUUACCCAAUCGGUCCUUUCACCUCUUUUAAUUUAUAAUUACGUAUUAUUUGAUUUUUUAAUUUGACCCUAAUAUUUUACAAUUGUUUCAAUUUAGUCUCGACAGUUGUUAAAUUACAUUCUGGGAAACGUUGCCGUUUUAAGGAAUAGGGCAAUUUGCCCAAUGAGUCCCUCUUGUUUUACGCGCGUUUUAAUUAGGCCCUUAAUUCACUGUUAUUUCUUUUAAAUUUGCCCUCAGAUUUUAUUGAACUUCAAAUUUAACCCUAUAUAUUUAUUAUAUUGUUAUUUGUUUUAUUUUUAACCUUAUUUUUAUAUUAUAUAUUAUAAAACUAUUUUAUUAUAUAUUAUUUAUAUUAUUAUUAUUUAUUAUAUAUUAUUUUUCACAAGUUAUUAUUAUUUUACAUCAUUAUUUAUAUAUUAUUAUAUUAUAUGUUUAUUAUAUAUUUAUAUUAUUUUUAUAUAUAUGCUUUUAUAUUAUAUAUUAUAAUUAUUUUAUAUAUUAUUAAGUCAUUUUUAUAUUAUUAUACAUUUUUAUCUAUAUAUUAUUAUCAUUAAAGGUUUUAAACUUGUAUUAUAUAUUUAUCUUUAUUUAUAUUCUAUUAUUACACAUUUUGAAGAUAUUAUAAUAUUAUAAUACAUAGAUUUCAUCAUUAAUUAUUCAUUUUAAACUUAUAUUUAUAUAUAUUAUAUAAUUAUUUCAUUAUAAAUAUAAAUUCUUUUGCAUAUUUUAUAUUCUAUACAUUAUUUUACUAAACCAAUAUCUUUUGUAUUUUUUAUGUAAUUAUUAUGCUUAUAAAUACAUUUUUAUUAUAUAUUAUAUUUUAAAAUUAUUAUUAAAUAUCACAUUUUUAUUAUUUUUUUAUAUUAUACAUAUAUUUUUUUAAAACUUAUUAUUAUUAUUAUACAAUAUUUAUUUUUACUUUAGUAUUAAUGUAUUAUUGUUAUGUUAUAUGUUAUAUCUUAGACUUUUAUAUUUUAUUUUUAAAUGAAUAUUUUUUAUAUAUGUACAUUGAUAUAUUGUAUAUCAUGCAUCAUUAAUAUGAUUAAAUAUAUGUUGAAUUAUAUGUUUAGGGAUUUUUACCUAUUUCUUCUUUAAUAUGUAUUCCGUUUUAUGUAUAUUUUUCUUAUUUAAAAAUUGUCAUGUUUUAUUUCUUAUAUAUGUUGAUUAGUGUAUGAUAUUUAUGCCGUUAUGCUCUUACUUUCCUAUCAUUGUAACAUGUUAUUUCGUAUGUUAUGUUAAUAUACUCCUUCAUGCAUCAAUUUUUUUAAAAAAAAAACGAGACUUCAAAUUUUUCAAAAAAAUAAAAAGGCAAUGAUCGGUAUUUGGAAGCUUCGAGAAAAGUAGUGCCCUAACUUAUUGGGUUGCGACUUUUCUCGUUGAGUUCGAAUAAUCAAGUACCCUUCUAAGUUUUAAAGGUUUUCCAAGUGCAAGCCACUAUCUUGGAAUUUCAAAGCAAUAUGUCCUAACUUAUUGGAUAUAGCGUUUUGUGGUUUCAAGAUAGGAAUUUCCAAAAAAGGUUAACUUAAUGUCAAUACUUUGAUACGAGUGAAUCCAAUUUUCAAAAUUAAAAUAUUUUAAAGUGGACUACAUCUUGAAAUUUUUGAAUUUCCGAAAUUAAAGACACUUGAUAAUCAAUUAGGUACCAAUUUUUGGGCGUUACGAGGGUGUUAACCCUUCCUCGAACGUAACCGACUCCCGAACCCGUUCUUUUAUUUCGCAGACCAAAACUAAUGAUUUUAAAACAAAAUGUUUUUAAGGUGAUCCGAUCGCACCUAAAAAGAUUGGUGGCGACUCCUGUUUUCGUUUUAAAGUCGAUUCCCAUUUUCCAAAACUCGAUUUAAAAAUGGUUUGCUCACCUAUAACAAUCAACCUACUGGUUUGGUGGUAAGGUUUUAGUAUUCCUUUAGAUCUCAAGUUCAAAUCUUGCUGUGUGCGAAAGUGGUAAUUAACCUAAACCCUCUUAAAGAGUGAGUCAAAUGCAAUCUCUAAAGUGAUAACAGAUAAAUUGUGAUAUUUUUUUAUUUUCUUUUUAAAUUGAGAAUUAUUUCUCAAAACUCUCUCUCUUGCCAUCCCACUUCCCCCUCAUUCUCCACUUUGUUUUGCACGUUGUUUUCUUUUGUUGUUAUAACGCCCUUUUGCCAAAUUUUCUUUGUUUUCUAUUCCUUCCCAUCUCUUCUGUCUUUCCCUUUUUCUUUAGUCUCCAUAAGCUCACAAUGAACACCGUAAUGUUCUUUUCUUUUGCCACCCUAUCUUCUGCAUUGGCGGUCAUCACAUCGUAUCGCACAUAACCAAUAGCCAUUGUAAUCUAUCGCUCCUGUGCGCCACCAACCGACAGCAGCAACAACCUUUCGCAAUAGCCCUAAACCCUAAACCCUAAUAGCCCUUUAGCGACCCGUGGCUGAUUCUCUCAACAUUCGAUAGCCCUUAUUUGCCACCCUUAUCCAUCCUCUACAUAGAUCAAGUAUAGGUCCUAACAUUUUGUAAUAUGUGUAUGUGUGUAUCUUAUUCAUAAGUGAAUCGUGUGAUUUGGUGAUGACUGGAUGCAUGAGUAAAUAAAUCUUGUUGGGUUGUAUAUGUGUGAAUCCUAACCCUAUGUGAUAUAUGAGUGUAUGAUAACAAUCAAAUGAUGUUGAGUUUGAAUUGAUAUCAUUCGAUUGUGACCUGUUUUUUCUUUUGGCGGAGGCCAAAUGUAAGUAUUUCCCCUAACUAUAAAAUUUGGUGUAAUCCGGUUGACUGUGGGUGUGUUUCAGUUAUGGCUGAAUACGGGUAAAUGAGUUAGGUAACAUGAUCGAAGGUGAGUAUGCCCUAAUUUGAGUUAGUCAAAUGCAUAUGAGGCCCUACUGUGUUGCUGAAAUGAUACUUGCUUGUUUUUGUGAUGGUCGAAUGUGCCAAUAGCAUGUUUUUGAUAUGUUAAACUAUAUGUGCAAUUAGUAUGUUCUGAUCAAUUUUAUCUGAAUAUGCCUAUAAUAGGCCCAUUUCGCCCGGGCCUAUACCAAAUCCAAAAUAGAAAAAUAAUAAAACCAAAAUAAUUUAAAAGUCAAGUCCAUUUACAUUUUCCAAUUAACCCAAAUAGCCCAGCACCCCAUGGCCCCAAACUAAACAGAAUUUUCAGCAGAAACCCUAAGGUUCCCUUGCGCCAAACAGGCUUCCAGCAGCUUCCAGCAUCGCUGCUGCCUCCGGCAAGUCCCACGUGCGCCAUCAGCCAGCUGGCUCCAUACCUGCAACAAAUGGAAAUCACAACAGCAAAUGACAAAUAAUAUAACAGAAUAAUAGCAAACAAAUGAAGGGGGAAAAGGGGAAAUUUGUAAAUUUUGAUUUUGGCUAUAUAAAGCCAAUUGUAUACUAUAAAUAGGGGAUUAUUAUUUUUUUUUUCACAGAAAUACAGAAGCAUAUUGAAAGAGAAAUAAAAAUCGAAAAGGUGAUUUCCAGUCUUAUUGUUUUCCUUUUUUUCUUUUUCUUUUUUUGCGUUUUUCUUCUUUAGGAUUACAUGAAAUUUUAAAACAAAAGAAAGAAGUGGAUUUACAUGAAAUUUUAAAAUAAAAAGAAGGGAUUUACCUUAGUAGUCAAUAACCGUCUUCUUCGUCGCAAUCGAAGCAGGGACGGGAUUUUGAAAUCGAAGCAAAUAGUCUUCGAGGUUUAACCCUCCAUGGCUCCUCUGUGCAUCUUGAGUCACUGAUCAAAACGAAGCAAGAACAUGCAAAUAAGGGGGCUAUGGGGAUCGGCCGAAGGGAGAAGAGUGAAUUAGAGUGCUUCUGUCUUCUCUCUUUUGUUAGUAUUUUAGGUUUUUUUGUUUUUUCCUUUUGUUUUUUAUGAAACAAACAAAAUGGCACCGUUUGAGAAAGGUAAAGGUUUGCGUGAAAACUUGAUUUAGAAGUUGGAUUUGUGCCUUUUUAUUUAAAUGGGUAAUUUUCAUGUUUGAUCCUUCCUCCUUGCACCGCGUUGUAAUCUGCUCCCAUUUGCAUUUGAUUUGCUUUAUUUUCUUUUAGAUUAUUCCCAAAAUUUGAAGUACUUUUAUGUUUUAGUCCGCAUCUCAACACAAUGUUUCAGGAUCAGGGAUUAUUUCAAUCUUGAUCCCUGUGAAUUCAUGUGUGUUAUAUAUGAGUCUCCAUUAGUAGUUUACUUAUUUUGUAAAUUAUCUUUUUAUUUUACUUUGAUUUCAAUUAAGUAUUUUAUUAGAUUUAUGUUAUAAAUUUGGGUUUAUUCACUCAUACAUUUUCAGUCCUUUUAUUAAUGUAUGUAUAUUCAUCAUUAUUUUAUUUUCAUUUUUGUUUUUUUAUUGUUUAUAUUAUUUGUAAUGUUAAUAUUAAUUGUAUUAUUUGUAUUGUUGGUUACUUAUUUGUUGUAAUUUGAAUAAUUGAAGUUCCCCAUGUUGCAUACUAUUUUAUGUAGUGUUUUAUGCGUUAUUAUACAUGUAUAUACCUCAUAAUAAUUGGUUUUAUUCCAUGAACAUUAUUAACAUUAAAUUAUUAUAUACGUUUAACUAUUUUUUUUUCACAUAUUUAUGUUAUAUAUGUAUAUGUUUUUUUCAAAAUGAAAUCGCAUGUUGUAUACAUUAAUUAAAUUUUAACUAUACAUAUACAAAAAUUAUUGGUAUAUAUAAUUUAAAUACAUUUUUAAACAUUAGUAUUUUUAUACAUAUAAUUUCUUUUAGAUUUAUUCACAUAUCUUUCUUAUUCAAAAAGAAAAUCCCACAUAUUUUUGUGUAUUAUUUAAGUUAUUAUUAAACAUAUAUUUAGAACUUAUAUUUAAUUUGUAUUCAUUAUUAAAGCCAAGAUAUUCUUAUACAUAUAUAUUUUUUAAAUAAACUCACAUAAUGGUGUUUUUAAAAUUAUUAUGUAUAUAAGAUAUGGUUAAUUUUAUAAUUCAUAUUUUAAUUAAAUGAUAUUUUGACAUAUAAUUAUUUCUAACAUUUUUUCACAUGUAUAUGGCACAUAUUAAAUUAUUUUUAUUAUGGUACAUGUUAUUAUUUUCAUAUAACUUUAUGUAAAUAUUUUUCUAUGUAUAUAUAUCGUCUUUUAAAAUUAUUUAUGUGUAUAAUAUUUUUAAAAACCCUUUUAAAUCAUAUAAUUUAUUGUAUCUCAUAUUAUCCUUAUGUUUUUUUUUCAUAUAUAUAUUUUGUUAUUUAUAUAAUUUGCAUAUUUACUUCAUUUUUUAUACAUUAAUAAUUUCAUUCUUUUUAUCAAUAAUUAUACCCAAUGUUUACUUGUAUAUAAAAGUUUCAUAAAUUUACUUUGUAUAUUAUUUUAUAUCAUGUAUUGUUAUUCCUUCAUAUUUAAUACAUUAUUUAAAUUAUCUUGUGAAUUAUCAUUUUUUGAAUAAAUUUGUGUUUUAAAUAUUUUGUAUAUGAUUUGAUUUGAACUUUGAAAUUUAUAAUAACUAUUUCAAUAAACAUAUAUCCCAAGUUUUAUGCAAAUGUGUCGACUUAUAUAUAUCUUAUAUGAUCAUUAAUUCUUCAUUUUGUUUCAUAUAUAUUUUUGUACAUCAUUUUAUUUUGUGUUAUGAUCAUGUAUAUUAUUUUUAUAUUAAUUAUUCAUUAUCCAUGCUUAAAGAAUUUUUUUUGUUACAUUAUACGUAGAAUGAUUGUAAGAUGUAUUAAGCAAGGUUUAUUGUAUUUUGAGUAUAUUAUUUCAUAUUUAUUAUUUUUUACAAUGCAUUAAAUAUUUCAUCAAUUUUAAAAUGAAUAAACAUGUCUUUAAGCAAAUUUCUAAAUUUCUGUUAUUCAAAAAAUCUGAAAUAAGGCAAUAUCUAAUGUUUGGGGAAUUCGAAAAAUUGUGCUCAAUCGUACUGGGUAUGACUUUUCCGGUGAACCAAAUAUUUGGAUAACCCCUUUUAUGAUUUUAAUUUUUUUUUUCAAAAGUUAAACAUUGAUCGCAUCUUAAAGGUAUAAGGGAUCGUAUCCAAUCGUACUGGGUAUGAAACUGCAUAUCUUUGGAACGAGAGAUUUUUGACCACUAAUUUGAGCUAUUCAAACAUUUUUUUAUAUACUUUGGAAAAUCUUUUCUUUUAAAAUUUUUUAAGGACAGCAUCAAAUCAAUUUGGUACCAGUUUUUGGGUGUAAUGAGGGUGCUAACCCUUCCUCAUGCGUAACCAACUCCCGAACUCAUUUUUUAUUUUACCUAAACCAAAUUUAUUUUUCAUUGAAUAAAGCGUUUUAAUAGAUGGUCCAAUCACACCUAAAUCAAGAGAUUGGUGGCAACUCCACACUCGGUUUUAAAAGUCGAUCUCUAUUAUUUUUUAAAUAAAAAAGGGUUUCGACAGCUUGGUGACUCCGUUGGGGAUUGAACGAAGAGAGCCAGGCCAUAAAAUUGAUUAUUUGGUGUCCUUUUGUCAAAGAAUUGAAAAUUUGUUUUGAAAAUCAUGAUUCUUUUAAUUGCAUUUGUUUGCAUGAUUGUUGUGGUUCGAGUAUUGUAGAAUAAUAUGGCAUUGCAUUGCAUGACCGCUGUGGUUAUACCUGUUAAGUGGGAGUAAGAAACUAUGCUUUCGUGAGGUUUUCACCUCCGUAUGGGCUAGUGGAUUGCUUCCGGGAUACAUCCGUACCUAUGGUUUCGUGAGAUUUUCAUCUCCGCAUGGUCAUAAGGAAAUGUAUUCCCCUGAAUUGAACUCGAUUCAUAUGAGCCUAUAAUGGGUGAGAAUUGAGGAAUCUAUUGGUUCAGGUACCCUUUCUCUAGAACUGAACCACAUAUAGUGAACCUUGAGAAUCCACCUUACGUAGAACCUUGCCCAAAUUUAGUGGUCAUCUGAAUAGGUACUUUAUUUGAUAUUUAUUUCACUUGUACUAACGUGUUUUAUUUUUGUUUUGUUUAUAAUUGCAUUGCAUUACAUUAUCAUAGAAAGGAGGUGUUGAUUCAUAUUUGAUUGCUAAAUAGAAUAGCUUGUCAUAAGAAAAUGAAUUUCCUGAUAAAGUGGAUUAUAAUAUGGUUGUUUGAAUUGACGGAAGAAUGCUGACAGUUCGUGGAGAAAAACAAGUCUUUGCCUGAAGAUUCAAGCUGAUAAAGAUCGUUCGAGAGCCGUUGCAUCUCAAUUUUCUUAAUAGGAGCUAGUAACGUCGUGAGGAUAAUAAGUCGUAGCCUAGAUCAAGCAAAAAAGAGCUAGUGGAGGCAUUUGCGAGAUUUGGAUUUCACGAAGAAAAUGGAUCGAUGUCUUCACCUAGAAUAUGAAAGCAAGACCGUAUAUGUAAUUCGUUUUAUGUAAAGGGAUUUGUUUUCUAGAAAAGUUGUUCUAAUGUAAUUAGAUUGAAAACCAACACUUCUCUUUCUUUUGCAUUCAUCCCAUGCAUUUGCAUUGCAUUGCAUCAUUUCAUCAUUUGCAUUAAAUUUUCAUAAAAGGGAUCCCUAAUUAGUUGAAAUCAUUUCACUUAAUCUGGGAACCAACACAAAAUUUACCAACCAAGCGUCAUUACGAUACCCGUGCUAAGAUAAAAGAUAUGGACAAAAGAUUGGAAAGACUUGAACAACUUCAAAGAGAGAUGCAAGACCAGUUACAAAUACAGAUGCAAGAGCAACUGGCGAAGAUUAGGCAAGAUAUGAGGGAUCUGGUGCUAGAGUCUCAAAGGAAUAUGUUGAACCAGUUGUCUCAAUUGCUGAAAAAGGGGCUUGAAGAAAGAAAAAGUUCAGUGAUCAACAUUGGGAAAGACAAUGAGGACCUUCCGGGUUUUACCCCAGUAAGUGCUCAGACGUAUCCGCAAGGUGUACCUAUUGUCAAAAAUCAGUAAUAUCAGGCUGGUACCUUUGAUUAUCCGACAGGUUCAGGCUCUAAUUCGGGGGGCAACCCAACCAAUCUUGAAGUUCUUGAUCUAGAUGAAAUGGAAAAAGUAGAGAGGGAAUUGCCAAGACAAGUUGAGGAUCGGUAUAGGUGGUUGGAGGAAAAAUUGAAAGCAAUAGAGAAUAUCGACUUCUACUGUGGAAUUGAUGCUAAGGAUCUAAGUUUGGUCCUCGAUUUAGUACUCCCGCCAAAAUUUAAAACUCCAAAGUUUGAAAGGUAUAAUGGGACUAGUUGUCUCGAAGCUCAUAUCACAAUCUUCUGUCGAAGGAUGACAGGAUAUGUUAAUAAUGACCAACUGUUAAUCCAUUGCUUCCAAGACAGUUUGAUCGGGUCAGCAGUUAAAUGGUACAAUCAAUUGAGUCGUGCUAAAAUCAAAUCAUGGAAAGACUUAGCACAAGCCUUCAUGAAGCAGUAUAGUCACGUAACAAACAUGGCACCUGACAGAAUUACCUUGCAGAAUAUGGAAAAGAAGCAAAAUGAGAGCUUCAGACAAUAUGCCCAAAGAUGGAGAGAGGUAGCAACACAAGUCCAACCGCCUCUUUUGGAAAAGGAGACCACGAUGCUUUUUAUCUAUACUCUGGAAGCCCCGUUCAUUGACUAUUUGUUGGGAAGUGCUACUUUGAGCUUUUCAAAUAUAGUAAUGUCCGGUGAGAUGAUUGAAGAUUCGAUAAGAAAUGGGAAAAUAGAUAUGGGAGAAGGUGCCAAAAGGUCAACUCCGGGAAACAAGAAAAAUGAAGUGAACAUCGUUGGUCAACAUAGGUCAACCAAGGGUUAUAACCACUAAUCAUCAAAGAGAAUCUGAAUGACAUAUCCAAAGAGAAGUCCAGGGAAUAAAGGUUUCCAAACCCUUAUGUACUUGGAAAUGUUUUAAGCAAUGAGACUGUGGAAAAUAUCCAUGUAUUUUUAGAACUGAUCUAGACUAAUGUUCAAAACGCACUUGUUGCUUUUAAGCUUAGGGGCAAUAAGAAUCCUCUUGUGAAAUAGGCUUGUGUCCAAAAUUUUUAUUUCAAUAAAAUGCAUUCUUUUGGAGUAAAUAUUCUUUCAUUCUUUUGUUCUUUGGACUAUUUUUUUUUAAAUAUGCUUUCAUUCUUUAUUCAUGAUCAUACAUACAAAUAACUAUCCUUGAAAUUUGCCUUUGUACCUACUGUAGGUCCCCAGAUAUCAAUGACAUGAGCAACGCUGUAACUGACUCCCUUUUGGGGUGAGAUAGGUGUUUAAGCGAAUCUCAAGACUUUGGAGAUGACAAAGAUUAUGACUUAUUUCCUGAUUUGUUAAGGACGGUAGAACAAGAUGAAAAAACUAAUCCUACUUUACGAAGGGUCAAUGGACAUUGUGAACAAGGGGCAAAGAUUGAAACCUGAGUCACCACAGGGACAAAAUAAAUUGUAUUUGAGUUACUUCAAGAAAUUCAAAUAUGUUUUCACAUGAUCAUGUUGAGAUAUAUUUGAGAUAUUAAGAUCUGUGGAUGAUACAAAAUGUCUACACAGUGCCAGAAUGACACAUGUUAAAGGUUUCAUGGUAGCCACGCUAACCAUGAGGUUUGGGUAUUGUUGAUCCACCAUGGAAGAUGAUUGCAUUGGUUAAAGCCACAUUCAUUUCUUCACAGAUUUUCUCUAUAUGGGACAAGGAUGUUAUCAGGCCAUUCUCAUCGAUUCAUCUUGGCAGUCAUUGAUUACUUCACGAAAGGGGUGAAGGUCACUUCAUAUGUCAAUAUUACAAGACUAAUAGUCAUCAAAUCUCAAAAAAAAAGAGAAAAAAAGAAAGAAAAGGGGAUGUGACAAGUAAUGACAGAAAGGAUUACUUUCAAAUACAACUGCGCAAUGUCAAAAGUUUGCAGUCUGUUCAAAGAUCAGACAAUAUAUCACAAUGCAGCAAAGGCAUUCAAAAAGAAAAAACAAAAGUACAAAAAUAGAAAAAAAAAGGAAAAGCAAACAACAGUACAAGGGUCAUAGUGAAAAAUUACUGAGUCUUGUAAGGAUUGGCAUAAAGAAGUUAUCAUUUACCCUCUAUAUUUGUCGAACAUGGGCCUAGACUUUCACCGGGGCAACAUAUUGAUUUAUAGGACUGAAACAGUUUUUGAAAUCGAGAUUCCUUUUCUUCGAGUCUUGGCAGAAUUAAAGUUGGAUGAAUCAUAAUGGGUCCAAUCCUGAUCAGUCAAAUUUAAAAGAUAUUUGUCACAGUCAGAUGAUGCUGGUUUAUCCUCGAGAAUUCCAUGAUGGGAGUUUGAUAUUGAAGAAGAUCCUUCCUAUACAAAAGGACUUCAAAGGAAGAAAUAUGUCAAACUAAGAGGGACCUUAUGUAAAGAAUGCAUGUUUUUGAUUGAAAGGAUUUGCCCAGUUCGAGGAAUUCAAAAUGCAGUCAAAGAGUGUCCUAUGGGAAAGGCCAAGGUGAAAACUCGCAAAGGGCGCCUUGAAACCUUGAAAAAGAAAAAAAUCAAAAUAAAAGAAGAUAAAUAAAAAGAAAGAAAGAAUUAAUCAAAAAAGUUGAAAAAUGAAAGAAAAAGGAGAGGCCAGGGCAAAAACCCGCAAAGGGCGCUUUGAGACCAAAAGGGAUUUGAGUUGAAAACCCGAAAAGGGCGGCUUAAAUUUGGAUUAAAGUGGGGUAUACAAUAGUCUUGCUAUGCCUGAAUUAACAAUGAAAGAAGAAUGUUACGUCUUGGGGCAUUGACAAAGUACUCCGGAUCCCAUAAACACAGAUUGAGCUCAGAAUGGUCCUAAAGAAGUUAGUACAGAGAAGCUCAAGCUGCGAUAUCUGGGGCACUUAGCUUUCCAUUUUUACCCAUUUUUGUUUGUUAUCUUUGAUUACCUUGUUCUUUUCAGGUCACUUCCUAAUAGAUUUCUUUCUUGGUUGCAUUUGCUUGUUUGUUUCGAGCUAUGUUCUCAAUUAAUUCCUUUCUUGUCCAUGGUUAUGAUCUUUUUUCAAGCAUUUGGCAUUGAAAUAACAAUUUUUGGACUAAUAAUACUUUUAUAAAGGAAGUUUCGCAUAUUACUUUGGGGAGUUUCUAAAUAAUACAGGAGCCUGAAAUAGGACUAUUGUUUAAAACUCACCAAGCUUAAGGGUUGAAAAUGUUUAAAGCCCAAAUUGAGAUUAUCUCCUUGGAUUUUCUGUCAAAGAUAUUAAUUGGUGUUAUAAUCCCGACAAAAGAGUGAGCAAUGGAAUUAUUCUUGAGAAAAGAAAAAUGGUAUUCUAUAUUCAUGCAGAUAUCAGGCAUAUACAUCUGUUCAUUAUACCCAGGGAAUGGUGUAACAGAUCAAAUUGAUUGAAGAUCCUAUGCCUCUGAGUUAUAGCAGGAUGGAUAGCAGAAAUCAAAUGAUUAUUCCCCUGAGGUUACAGUGGGAAGUUCAAAUUUUAUGUCCUAGAAGACUACAGUGUAAGGGACUCUGAAAUAACAGUGGGGCAAGCUUGCUGAGCAGAAUGUGAUUGUUUCUUUGGGUUUUCUGUCAAGAAUACCAUCCGAACAAGAUGGCAGCAUAAUAAAUCAAUGAUAAUGCUCUGGUGAACAAUGAGCAAUGAUGCCUUAAGCAUUUUUACCAAGAAAAAGAAAAAAGAAAAGAUCAUUCAAAAAAGAUCAUUUUCAUUUUUUGCAUUCAUAUAUCAUUCAUCACAUCUAGUUAGAUGUAUUUGAUUUAUUUUGAUCAUAGCAUCCUAAUUAUUUGACAUAAGCAUCACAUCUAGUUAGGAGCAUUUGAUUCAUUUUGAUCAUAACAUCCUAAUUAUUUGGCAUAAGCAUGAUACAUGAAACCGAGUCUACAGGACAUGUCCAAGAGAAUGGUGUAGUAAUAUCAGUGAAGUCAGAUCUUAUAUCCUUAAAGUUACAGCAGAAUGGAUCGAAGAUUACAAACCUUAUCUCCUUGAGGUUGCAAUAGAGCAGGUUGAAGUGUCAGUUACAGUAAAGCAAAUCAUAACAAGUCUUAUCUCCCUGAGUUUGCAGUGGAGUAGACUGAAGACUGAAAGAUCUUAUCUCCCUAAGUAGUAGCAGAGCAGACCAAAGAUGGCGAAUCUUAUCUCCAUAUAUCGGCAAUGGAGCAGAUUUUAGCCGCUGACCUUAUCUCUCUAAGGUAGCAAGAGAGCAGGUUGAAAAAUGAGUCUUAUUUUCCUAAGGUAGCAAGGAAGCAGACUGAAUAUUGAAGAUCUUAUCUCCCUAAGCAGUAGCAGAGCAGAUCGAGGAUGGCGAAUCUUAUCUCCAUGUAUCGGCAAUAGAGUAGAUUUUAGUCACUGACCUUAUUUCUCUGAGGUAGCAAGAGAGCAGGUUGAAGAAUGAGUAUUAUCUUCUUAAGGCAGCAAGGAAGUAAACUGAAGAUUGAAAAUCUUAUCUCUCUAAGCAGUAGCAGAGAAGAUCGAGGAUGACGAAUCUUAUCUCUAUGUAUCGGCAAUAGAGCAGAUUUUAGCUAUUGACCUUAUCUCUCUGAGGUAGCAAGAGAGCAGGUUGGCGAUUGUAGUCUUAUCUUCCUGAGGUAGCAAGGAAGCAGACUAAAGAUUGAAGAUAUUAUUUCCCUGAACAGAAAAAGUAGAUCGAAAAAGACAAAUUUUAUCUCCAUGUAUCGGCAAUGGAACAGGUUUAAGCCCCAAGAUUUAUUUCCCUGAAGUUGCAAUGGAGUAGAUUUUAUUACUAGCCUCAUUUCUCUGAGGUAGCAAGAGAGCAGGUUGAAGAAUGAGUCUUAUCUUCCUUAGAUAGCAAGGAAGCAGACUGAGAAUUGAAGAUUUUAUCUCCCUGAGAUUGCAGCGGAGCAGAUCUUCGCAGAUGAUGAAUCUUAUCUCCAUGUAUCGGCAAUGGAGCAGAUUUAAGACACUAGCCUUAUCUCUCUGAGCUAGCAAGAGAGUAAGUUUGCGAUUGUAGUCUUAUCUUCCUAAGGUAGCAAGGAAGCAGACUAAAGUUUGAAGAUCUUAUCUCCCUAAGUAGUUGUGGAGCAGAUCGAGAAUGGCGACUCUUAUCUCCAUGUAUUGGCAAUGGAGCAGAUCUAAGUCAUUAAGCUUAUUUCCCUAAAGUUACAGUCCAGAUUUAGCAAAAUCGGGCAAAAUUGGCCCUAUUUGAAGUCUUUGCUCUAUUCUCGUUGCACGAAAAUGAGCAAAGAGGGGCAGCUGUAAUAGGCCCAUUUCGCCCAGGCCUAUACCAAAACCAAAAUAGAAAAAUAAUAAAACCAAAAUAAUUUAAAAGUCAAGUCCAUUUACAUUUUCCAAUUAACCCAAAUAGACCAGCACCCCAUGGUCCAAAACUAAACCAAAUUUUCAGCAGAAACCCUAAGGUUCCCUUGCGCCGAACAGGUUUCCAACAGCUUCCAGCAUCGCUCCUACCUCCGGCCAGUCCCACGUGCGCCAUCAGUCAGCUGGCUCCAUACCUGCAACAAAUGGAAAUUACAACAGCAAAUGAUAGAUAAUAUAACAGAAUAAUAGCAAACAAAUGAAGGGGGAAAAGGGGAAAUUUGAAAAUUUUGAUUUUGUCUAUAUAAAGCCAAUUGUAUACUGUAAAUAGGGGAUUAUUUUUUUUCCACAGAAAUACAGAAGCAUAUUGAAAGAGAAAUAAAAAUCGAAAAGGUGAUUUCCAGUCUUAUUGUUUUCCUUUUUUUUCUUUUUUUUUUGCGUUUUUCUUCUUUAGGAUUACAUGAAAUUUUAAAACAAAAGAAAGAAGGGGAUUUACAUGAAAUUUUAAAAUAAAAAUAAGGGAUUUACCUUAGUAGUCAAUAACCGUCUUCUUCGUCGCAAUCGAAGCAGGGACGGGAUUUUGAAAUCGAAGCAAAUAGUCUUCGAGGUUUAACCCUCCAUGGCUCCUCUGUGCAUCUUGAGUCACUGAUCAAAACGAAGCAAGAACAUGCAGAUAAGGGGGCUAUGGGGAUCGGCCGAAGGGAGAGGAGUGAAUUAGAGUGCUUCUGUCUUCUCUCUUUUGUUAGUAUUUUAGGUUUUUUUAUUUUUUCCUUUUGUUUUUUAUGAAACAAACAAAAUGGCACCGUUUGAGAAAGGUAAAGGUUUGCGUGAAAACUUGAUUUAGAAGUUGGAUUUGUGCCUUUUUAUUUAAAUGGAUAAUUUUGCAUAUUUGAUCCUUCCUCCUUGCACCGCGUUGUAAUCUGCUCCCAUUUGCAUUUGAUUUGCUUUAUUUUCUUUUAGAUUAUUCCCAAAAUUUGAAGUACUUUUAUGUUUUAGUCCGCAUCUCAACACAAUGUUUCAGGAUCAGGGAUUAUUUCAAUCUUGAUCCCUGUGAAUUCAUGUGUGUUAUAUAUGAGUCUCCAUUAGUAGUUUACUUAUUUUGUAAAUUAUCUUUUUAUUUUACUUUGAUUUCAAUUAAGUAUUUUAUUAGAUUUAUGUUAUAAAUUUGGGUUUAUUCACUCAUAUAUUUUCGGUCCUUUUAUUAAUGUAUGUAUAUUCAUCAUUAUUUUAUUUUCAUUUUUGUUUUUUUUAUUGUUUAUAUUAUUUGUAAUGUUAAUAUUAAUUGUAUUAUUUAUAUUGUUGGUUACUUAUUUGUUGUAAUUUGAAUAAUUGAAGUUCCCCUUGCAUACUAUUUUAUGUAGUGUUUUAUGCGUUAUUAUACAUGUAUAUACCUCAUAAUAAUUGGUUUUAUUCCAUGAAUAUUAUUAACAUUAAAUUAUUAUAUACGUUUAACUAUUUUUUUUCACAUAUUAAUGUUAUAUAUGUAUAUGUUUUUUCAAAAUGAAAUCGCAUGUUGUAUACAUUAAUUAAAUUUUAACUAUACAUAUACAAAAAUUAUUGGUAUAUAUAAUUUAAAUACAUUUUUAAACAUUAGUAUUUUUAUACAUAUAAUUUCUUUUAGAUUUAUUCACAUAUCUUUCUUAUUCAAAAAGAAAAUCUCACAUAUUUUGUGUAUUAUUUAAGUUAUUAUUAAACAUAUAUUUAGAACUUAUAUUUAAUUUGUAUUCAUUAUUAAAGCCAAGAUAUUCUUAUACAUAUAUAUUUUUUAAAUAAACUCACAUAAUGGUGUUUUUAAAAUUAUUAUGUAUAUAAGAUAUGGUUAAUUUUAUAAUUCAUAUUUUAAUUCAAUGAUAUUUUGACAUAUAAUUAUUUCUAACAUUUUUUCACAUGUAUAUGGCACAUAUUAAAUUAUUUUUAUUAUGGUACAUGUUAUUAUUUUCAUAUAAUUUUAUGUAAAUAUUUUUCUAUGUAUAUAUCGUCUUUUAAAAUUAUUUAUGUGUAUAAUAUUUUUAAAAACCCUUUUAAAUCAUAUAAUUUAUUGUAUCUCAUAUUAUCCUUAUGUUUUUUUUCAUAUAUAUAUUUUGUUACUUAUAUAAUUUGUAUAUUUACUUCAUUUUUUUAUACAUUAAUAAUUUCAUUCUUUUUAUCAAUAAUUAUACCCAAUGUUUACUUGUAUAUAAAAGUUUCAGAAAUUUAAUUUGUAUAUUAUUUUAUAUCAUGUAUUGUUAUUCCUUCAUAUUUAAUACACUAUUUAAAUUAUCUUGUGAAUUAUCAAUUUUUGAAUAAAUUUGUGUUUUAAAUAUUUUGUAUAUGAUUUGAUUUGAACUUUGAAAUUUAUAAUAACUAUUUCAAUAAACAUAUAUCCCAAGUUUUAUGCAAAUGUGUCGACUUAUAUAUAUAUCUUAUAUGAUCAUUAAUUCUUCAUUUUGUUUCAUACAUAUUUUUGUACAUCAUUUUAUUUUGUGUUAUGAUCAUGUAUAUUAUUUUUAUAUUAAUUAUUCAUUAUCCAUGCUUAAAGAAAAUUUUUUUGUUACAUUAUACCUAGAAUGAUUGUAAGAUGUAUUAAGCAAGGUUUAUUGUAUUUUGAGUAUAUUAUUUCAUAUUUAUUAUUUUUUACAAUGCAUUAAAUAUUUCAUCAAUUUUAAAAUGAAUAAACAUAUCUUUAAGCAAAUUUCUAAAUUUCUGUUAUUCAAAAAAUCUGAAAUAAGGCAAUAUCUAAUGUUUGGGGUAUUCGAAAAAUCGUGAUCAAUCGUACUGUAUAUGACUUUUCCGGUGAACCAAAUAUUCAGAUAACCCCUUUUAUGAUUUUAAUUUUUUUUUCAAAAGUCAAACAUUGAUUGCAUCUUAAAGGUAUAAGGGAUCGUAUCCAAUCGUACUGGGUAUAAAACUGCAUAUCUUUGGAACGAGAGAUUUUUUACCACUAAUUUGAGCUAUUCAAACAAUUUUUUUUAUAUACUUCGGAAAAUCUUUUCUUUUAAAAUUUUUUAAGGAGCAUCAAAUCAAUUUGGUACCAAUUUUUGGGCGUAAUGAGGGUGCUAACCCUUCUUCAUGCGUAACCGACUCCCGAACCCGUUUUUUUAUUUUACCUAAACCAAAUUUAUUUUUCAUUGAAUAAAGCGUUUUAAUAGAUGGUCCAACACACCUAAAUCAAGAGAUUGGUGGCGACUCCACACUCGGUUUUAAAAGUCGAUCUCCAUUGUUUUCUAAAUAAAAAAGGGUUUCGACAAUGCCAAUAGCAUGUUUUUUAUUUAUUAAACUAUAUGUGCAACUAGUAUGUUCUGAUCAGUUAUGUUAUGUCAUUUUCAUGUGUAUUAGGGUUGGGUUAUGUAUGACUUGGAGGAAGUUCUAAUAGACUACAAUCUGCGAUUCUGGCAGUUUACCCGCAAAUUUUGAUUUGGCAGUUAAACUACAUUCAGCCAAAAGUAUGACCAUUACGAACCAACCACUAAACUAAAAGCACACGAACCUAGCCCUUAGAGAAAAGGUUUCUAAUGCAUUAAGUCACUGGAGGAAUGAGCGCCUCACAAUCCUCACCUAAUACACCAUUAAACCAACUAUCCUCUCAACUUAAACCAAAGCAAACAUCUUUAAAUUAAAAUAAAUGAAUGGAUUAUACUACUUAAAAAAUAAAUUGUGAUACUACCCCAAUUUGAACUGUGUCAUCGAGAGGUGAGUAGUUCUUGUCGACUAGUUAGGUUAGUAGAUGAUUUAGAAGCCCUGCUAGGUUAAUUAGUAACCAACUAUUUAAAACUCUACACCAAUAAUUAAUCAGGUAAAACAAUCGGAUCUAGGCCGAAGGAACUCGCAUAGUAGAAAUAAGGGAUAGAAGAUGAACUUAGGAAUAGAUUUAGGUUUAAUUCAAUUUAUUUGGUUAUUAUUACUAUCAUCUUACUUCUAGAUUAACACUACUAAUUUGUGACUCGAGUAGAUUAGUGAUAAUACUCAAGAAUAACAUAUUUUUAAGUAUUAAUUAUAUUUUAUUUUGAGUAUGAUCCUACUAAUUUGAGCUAUUUAUGGUUUUUUAUCUGGUAGGGAUUAAAUUGAAUGCAAAAGAAAAUUUGGGGGCAAAAAGCGUGAAUUUGAAGCAAAAUGGGCCAACAUGCAAAAUAGAAAAUAAAUGGUGCUGAAAAUGCAAAAUGUGGAAGACUUGAGGGGCAAAAUUUCAAAGAAGAGAUUUAUAAACAUUAGACUUUAUUUAAAUUUGAAUUUUAUUUGGAUUAUUGUUAGGAUUAUUAUUUAGAUUUAUUUCAGCUUUUAUCUUCAUUUAUCCUUUAGAGUUUAAAUAGGAACAAACUUAGUUUUUCAUGUACUAUAAAUAGGAGAUGGAGUGACACAAAUUAACACUCAUCUUUUCUGUAAAAACUCCCUCUUCCUAAAGCUCUUAGCUUUUUGUUCCUUUUUAUUUAUUCAAUAAAAUUCAAUUUUAUUAAACUUAUUUCUUUUUUUCCCCAAAAGCAUAAUCUGCUAAACUCAUCUAGCCAAAAGUUGUCGAGAUUCCUCAAAAAAAGGUUCAUGCAGCUUAGAAUCUGCACUUAGCCUUCUAAACGAGUAUUCGUCGUUUCUCCACAUUAUGGGACUGAUGCUUCCGUCCAUGUCCUUCCAAAAGUGAUUAUUUCAUCUAGAGCAAAGGCGGCCGCUUUGUAUGUUUUGGGAAAGUUGCACAGUUGAUUCGUUAGCUUACUGCGCCAGUGGUUGUCGAGCCCAAGAGAAAAAAUGGCGUGGCAUUCGCCAUUGAGAAAUGAUGAUCUAGUGUAAUAUGGUCCCACAAAAGUGACGGUUGGCUAGAGUCAGGUUCCUCUAAAUCGUAAAUCUAAAAUCUAAGUGGAGCUAGUGGUCGUCCUCUUCCACUAUAACUGGCGUAUUCUAUUCGAGAAGGAUCACCUAAAAGCCUAGGAUUGAACCCAAGAAGGAUCGAGAUAACCGGAGGCUGGAAUCUCUCAAUCCAAGAAUCUUUUUUCUCGACUCUAUUUAUUUUUACAAUUUCAAUUUCAAUUUACAAAAUCUCAAUUCGUCCAUAUUUUUAAUUCUUUUUUUUUCAGGUACGCCUUUUUUGGGCAGGACUGUGCCCGGGAUCUCGAGGAACAAGAAGUUGUGCAAAUCCAAUCCCUGAGGAUUUGACCCUACUUCCCUUAUACGAUUCUUUUCGUUAUUUUAAAGGGAUAGGAUAUUUUUUGUGCUCUCAACAACGCAUCAAUUAGUAGUUAUUUUUAGUAAUUGGCUUAAUAGCAGUUUUUCCCAAACUGCAAUCCCCUGGGGUACGACCCUCGGAAUACUUAUUAAGUGUUUUGUUGUAAACAAACUAUAUUACAAUCUGGCCCGUAUAUUUGUGGACACCAUGUAACGCCCCAAUUUUCUUAUGUUUAGAUCGUUAAAUUAUGUCAAGUAAUUUGAUUUAGUCUGUUGGUUAUGUGCCUUGAAUGUAUGCUUUAGGUCUUGAGUUCGAUUCUCUCGUUUUGGAUUUUUCUUAUUAAUUUUCGCAUUAUGUUAAGCUUGAGCUUUUGGGAUUAACUUUUAUUUUUGUCGGAUUAUUAAUAAGAAUGAGCCUGUUGGUUUAGUGGUAUGGCUUGAACUUACAUAUAGAUAUUGUGUUUGAAUCCCGUUGUGCGCAAAUGUGAAAUAUUUUUUAUUUUGGCUAUUCUUUUGAAGUAGAGUUCAAAUUAAAUUCCAUAAAAUCUGGUGGGUUAAGAUUUGGUUAAAGUUGAAUUACUUUAACUUUUUUUUGAGUUAUCACCCAUAAUUUUACUCCCACUUCCAACCGUCCAAUUUCUCUUAUACCUCUUUCACAUUUCUUUUUCUUCCCAUUUUGUUUUUCUUCUUUCUUUUUCUUUCACUUUCCUUUGAGUUAUCUUUCUUUUCUUUUCUGUUAAUUUUUUAUUUCAAUCAUCCUAUCUUCUAAGAUGUUUGUGUGUGUUACUUGCAAUUUAAUCGUUGUUCAAAGCGUGGUGUAAGUUUUAUCAAGAUAUUUUUCUAUUAUUUUAGCCUUAACUUGUUCUUGAACAAGAUUAGAGUUGUUGAUGUUUAGUUUCCUUUCCAUGUUAUGUUAAGUAUUUUCGUGAUUUUGAUUAGGCGAAGGGUAUGAGAAUCAAAGUCCUCUAGCAAAGUAGUUCUCAUUUGGACGUUGUUUUCUGAGUAGUAAGUACUCAAACCUCACUUUAGGGACUAAAAUUUUGAGAAAAUAAUGUGAUUUUGGAAGGAUAUUUGAUGGUUAAUUGGUGUGAUUUGAUGAUUUAUUGUAUGAUUCAUGAGCUCCUAGUUGUAUGGCUAAUCAAAAAUAUUGUUAGGUGUGUGAAUUAACCCAAAAAACUCGACUGAAACUCGGAAAAAUCCAAAAAUAGGGGUUGUUUUCAAAAUUGCACAGCAUCACACAGUCAUGUGACAGGCCGUGUGACAGGCCGUGUGCACUACACGGUCGUAUUGUAGGCCAUGUGCUAGGCCAUAUGUGAUUACACGGCUUGAAUAAGAAGGUCGUGUGGACCACACAAGCUAGCUUAUUAGGCCGUGUAGGCCAAACAACCAUGUGGGUCCUCUAAACCUAUUUUAAAGGCCCGAUUAGAGGUCAAUUAAGUGACCCAAAAAUUGUAUCCGUGGGCAUUUUGGUAGGCCUAUAAAAGCGGAAAAUUCAAUAUGUUAAACAUGAGUAAGCUUAGAAAGCAUGUUAAGUAAGAUUCACUUUAUAUAAGUUAUGUAUUAUGUUACGCUCUAUAAAUAUAUGUUUAAAAAUGCAUGCCAUGCAACCGAUAUGAUAUGUAUGUAUGUUAACAUGAUUACGUAUAUGCAUUGGGGUGGACUUUGGUAUAGUGGAGGAAGUGUAUUAUGGCAGUUUUAUAGCAAUUUUGGCUAUUAAACCGCAAUUACUGUCUAACAGCUUAGCUAUAUAUUUUGAGUGACAUACCGCUACGUACUGGUAUGAUUGGAUGGAUGGACUCAUGUAGUCCCAAUUGAUGUGAUUGGUUGGACGAAGAUUGUAACACCCCAAAAUAAGGCCUAGAAGUUUUAGGGGUAAUUUAGGAAUUUUACCCUUAGAGUGUUUAGAAUUUUGCGACAUGGUAUACUGAUAAUGUUUUUUACUAUGGUUUUUAGAAAAUUAAAUCAAUUUCUGAAAAUGAGUUUUAAAUACCUUUAAUUUUGAGAAUAGGACUGAUAUGUAAAAGAGUCAAAACUUAGAGUUUUUAAGAGGGAAUUAGACCAGAUUUUCCAACUUACAAACCCCAUUUAUAGUUUUAUUUUCACAUUAGUCGUCUUCUUCUUCUUCUUCUCUCAUACGUGUGCCAUCUAUAGUUCUCCCAACACUCCCGAUCAAUUUUAAAAUCCAAAUCCUAAUUCCUUUUGAUUUUUAUCAUCUCUUUUAAGUUAUAUAUAUUAUUCAAACAUUUGUCGUCAUAUGACAGAAACUAGUAUAUAAAGCAAACGGGUGUGCAAGUUUGAACCACCAAGCAAAAGUACUAAACCUGUACAAAUUUAGUAAGCAACCAAAAGGUAAGAAACUAACUAUCAUGGCUGCCAGUUUAGCUUUACCAUAUGCAGAAACUAACUAUCAUGGCUGCCAGUUUAGCUUUACCAUAUGCAGCAGGCAUCCCAGCUUCAGCACGCCAGCAGCGUCGUAGAAGCAUGGUGAUCAAGGCACAGAAAACCAGUAUCAUGGCCAACCAC